Molecule: long non-coding RNA, 49276 nt
Filed under: Ananas comosus (pineapple)
Lineage: Eukaryota; Viridiplantae; Streptophyta; Magnoliopsida; Poales; Bromeliaceae
Description: long non-coding RNA (ACOM_LNC020711)
Source: RNAcentral
ACUCCAAUUAAUAAUUUUACAUUGGAUAGUUAUAGAUAGAUAUAAAAGUAUAUAAACUUGAUUAGACUAGACAUAAUAACUGAGUUUAAUUAUUUUGGUCUGGUGAUUCGAGCCUAACGAGUUAUUAUUGCUAUCAGGGCGGAUCGUUACAUUUGGUAUUAGAGCCGGUUCACCAGCUGCAAAUAUGAGAUGAGUCUUGAUUGAGCCACAGUCGAAAUAACAAACUAAAGUUAGGGUCGGUAAAUGACAGGCUAAGUCAAGAUUGGAAUGACAAGACUAGCGCGAUAGGUCUCACGUUGCCUGCUAAUUUUGGACUCUGUAUGUGUUUAAGCCCGACGAGGACGUCAGAGCUUAAACGGGAGGAGUAUGUGACACCCCAAUAAUCUCAUAUCGACUAGUUAUGGCUAGAUGUGAGGGAGUAUGUGACACUCCAAUAAUCCCAUAUCGGAUAAUUAUGAUUAGAUGUGAGGGUAUAUAAGUUUGAUUAGACUAGACAUAGUAAUUAGGUUUAAGUAUUUUUGAAUCGGUGGUUUAGGCCUAACGAGUUAUUAUUGCUAGGAGGUCGAAUAGUUACAAGUUUAUUUUUCAGCGAUACUGCAAAAAAUAUAUGUAAACGACUUACUGUGAUAUGAUUAAUAUAAUGUUAUCUACGAAAAUGAAUGAACUAUUUUUCUCCUGCACUUUUUUAUCCUUGAAGAUGAUUUAUCUUAUCCAAAUAUAACUUAAAGGGUGAAUAUAAUAUCCAAUCUUAGACUUUGAUCACACUUCUUUUCUACCAAAUGUACAAACUUUUGAGCUUUUGCAAAAGUAGACUGUCUUUUUAGAUUUUACAGAUUUGAGCCGGAUUUUCAAAAAAUUGACCAAAAUACUCUUAUUAUCUUUUCUCUCUCCUCUUUUUUCUCUUGUUUUUUAUUUUCUUUCUCUUUGAAGAGGGCGGCGGAAGCGAAGGCGAAGGCGGCCCGCCUCGCUUCUGUCCCACGCGCCCUCGUUCUCGCCCUCGCUCGGACACCCUCCCUUUGCUUUUCUCGCCUCCGACCUAGCUGAGGCUGUGCCUUGACACACUUUUUUUUUUUUUUUCUCUCCUUCUGUUCUCCAUCGCCUCUUCGGCUCUUUAUAAUAGCAAAGAGGGCAACGUCACAUCCUCUUCCUCUUCUUUUUUUCUCUAUUUUUUUUUUUUUUUCAACCCUCUUUUACAGCCUCCCCAACCCUCCACGACGGUAACGAAAACAGCGCCGCAUCCUCUUCUUUCGCCUUCGCCGACGCAGGUACCGACGUUAGUGCUGGAGAAGAAGGACUCGAAGCAAGUGCGGGUGAGAGCGGAGCCGAAAAAAAAAUAUAGAAAAUAAAAAAAAUAAAGAAUAAAAUACGAAGAAAAAAUAAUUCCUUCUACAAGAAAAAUAAAGAAAUAGAGAGAAAAGAAGAAGAUGAUGAAUUUGCGCUGUUAGGAGAAUGUUGCACGGUUUUAGGGAAAUGUUGCACUAUUUUAGAAAAAAUUUACACGCUUUGAAAAAAACUAUAUACUUUUUAGAUGAAAGUUACACUUUUUGAACAAAAGUUGCACUCUUUGAACGAAAAUUAUAUUAUUUGAGCAAAAAUUAUAUUAUUUCUUUUCUCCCUCCUUCUCUUUCUCGUCAAAUAGUGCAAUUUUUGGCUAAAUAGUGUAAUUUUUCUUCAAAGAGUGUAAAUUUCGUUCAAAGAGUGCAAUUUUCGUCCAUAAAAAUAUAAUUUUCUCUCAAAGAGGGUAAAUUUCCUAAAAAUCAAAGCAACGUUCCCCUAAAAUAAUGCAAAUUCAUCAUUUUUUCUUUUCUCCCUAAUUCUUCAUUUUUCUUGUAGAAAAAAUAUUUUUAUUUAUAUUUUAUAUUUUAUAUUUUAUAUUUUUUAUAUAUUUUUUUCUCGACUCCACUCUUACACGCACUUACUUCAUGUCCUUCUUCUCCGACACUGGCGUAGGUGUCUGCAUCAGCGAAGACAGAGGAAGAGGAUGCGAUGCUGUCCUCGUUACCGUCGUGGAGGGUCAUGAAGGCGGUAGAGGGGGGGUUGAAGAGAAAAAAAAUGAGAGAAAAAUAGGAGAGGAAGAGAGCGUGACAUAGCCCUUUUUACUACUGUAAAGAGUCAGGGAGGCGGUGGAGGUGGGUCGGGGAGAGACAAAAAGAGGGUCGAGUCGCAGUCUUGGCGGGGUUAAAGGCGAGGAAGGCGGAGGGAGGGUGCACGGACGAGUGCGAGGGUGAGGGCAAGGGCGAGGGCGAGGGCGGGUGGGACAGAGGCGAGCGUUUCCGCCUCCGCCUCUGCCUCCGCUGCUUCUUCGGCGAGAGAAAAAAAAAAGAGAGAGAGAGAAAAAAGAAUAAGGGUAUUUUGGUUAGUUUUCUGAAUAUCCGGUUCGAAUCUGUAAAAUCCAAAAAGGCGUCCUAUUUUUGCAAAUGCUCAAAACUAAUAAAUUUUUAUGCAAAUUGGCCUAGAAAAUAUUUGCAUUAUUUUAUAUUAUUCUUUUUUUUUCUAUAUAUUGAAUAUUUUUAUAUAUUUUUAAUUUAUGAUGAAUUUAAAAUUUAAAUAUUUAUUUUAAACUAAAACAUCAAAAUUUAAUUGAUAUUUAUUUCAAAAUUUAAAAUUUAAUUUUGAUCUAUUAUAUAAUUAAAAGUUUUUAAUUGUUAAGUCAAAUUUGAUAUCAAAAAUUACAUUUAAUUUAUGGUUUAAACUCAAAUUUAAAUUUUAAUGUAAAAUAGAUGGAAAGGAAUGCUGCUUUUUAACAGAUUAAUCAUAACCGUUCGUUCUUAUUUGAUUUUUUUUUUUAAACAAAUUGGUCAUAGCUGUUCGUAGGGAAUAUUGAAAUUUUUUUAACAAUUUUUUUUUGAUUAAACAGGGAUAUACCCUAUUUGAGAGAUUUUUUUUUAGCAAUUUUUUUUAACAAAUUGAUCAUAAUUGUUCGUAGGGAAUAUUCUUUUAUUUCUUUUUGAUUCCCUCUAUCAUUUAUAUAUGCUUUUAUAUAUAGUAUAGAUAUGUUAAUACAUCAAUAUAUCAGUAGCUUAUAUAAGAAUGACACUUAACUCCAUGCUUUGACACUAUAUAUAUAUAUAUAUAGAAUUAUGCUAUUAUGCUAUCGAUAGUACCGAGCGCUUGGUAUUAUCGAGUUUUCGGUUGUUGGAUUAAAGGAUGUGGGUAAGAAUGAUAGUACGCCCUAGGGUUGAGUGAGUGGUUGAUUGAAUAAUAUAAUCUAAUGGGUAGAAAUGAUUAAAGGGUAUAUUUAACAGCAGAAAACUUGAUAGUAUCAAAACCUGAUACUAUCGAUAGUAUAUAUAUAUACACACACACACACAUUCAACUCUAGCAUAAAAAUUGGCACUUAACAUCAUGUUAUUAAAAAAUAUAAAAUAAUUUCAAACAAUUCAUGUUUGGUCUCAAAAUUUUUUGAUGGGAGGAAACUAAUUGUGCUGAAGACUAUGUAGGAAUCGAACACAAAAUCUACUAUUUUGACACCAUAUUAAAUUAUAUAAAAUAAUCAUUUUUCUCUAAUAACUUAAGUCAUUAAAAAUAAUAUUUUUAUAAUUUUAUAUUUAGAAUAAUUAUUAUCUAGAAUAGUUAGUUCAUGCGUAUGUAAAACGAAAAAGCUAAUUGUACGCCCAAAAGUGGAUGUACAUCCUACUCCCAUCCAUCCAAAGGAGGGAAGUUGCCCAGCAGUCGCAUGAUGUGACUUGUAGAGGGAAUCCCACCUUUGGAUUAGAUGGGUGUAGAUUUUACACCGAUUUUGGAGAGUAUUUGUAGCAUUGCUCAUUGUUUUAGGUUAACCCAUCACAUUAUGAUUAUAAAAAACUAAUUUUUUUAUUGUACUUUUCUUUUCUGAAAGUAUAGAUGUGAUUAAUUUGUUAUUGUCGAUGCAGUGUAAGUGUAACACAGUAGACUUUCUCGUUUAUGUAUAGAGGUGAAAAUGGUGGAAUAUGGUUGGAUUUUUGACAAAAUUAUUAUUAUUAUUAUUAUUUUUGAAUGCGAUUCACAUGUGGAUAUAUGUGGAGUGCUAAAUUUUCGUUAGCGUAUCUGCUUAAUAUUGAUUUAGAUUAAGAUAUAAGCCGGAUUUAUAUUCAAAUAUUAUUUCGGUAAGCAUAUUCUAAUAUGCAUAUAUAAGUAUAAGUUAAAAUUAGCGCGAAUAAAAUACACAUUUGCAUUAAAGGUUAACAUUUGUAUUGAAUAAAAUUUAAUAUUUUUACAAAAAUAAAUGCAAUUUUAAUAUAAAAUUUAUAAUAAAAUAAAUGAAGAACAAUAUUGAUGUAAUGACCCGACCCGAUCCGCUAGCAAUAAUAAUUCAUUGGGUACAAACCACUGCCUAAAAUAUUUAAGCUCAAUUAUUAUUACUAGUGUCCAUGAUUUUUUAUAUAUACCUAAUCACAAUCUCAUUACGUUCCAUAGUCUUUUAUAUAUCCAAUCACAACUCCAUCUCUUUUAGAUCCUGACGUCCUCGUUAGUCGAAUCACACGUAGAGCUCAAGAUUAUAGGUGAUGCAACACUGUCUCUCUAGUCUUGUCAUUCCGAACUUAACUUCACAUGUCGCUUUGUCAUUUCGACCCUGUCUCAACUGAGACUCAUCUCAUACUUUCGGUUACCAAAUAUAAUGAUCCCUGCCAGCGAGCAAUAAUAAUUCAUUGAGUCCAAACCACAGUACAAAAUGCUUAAACCCAAUUAUUAUUAUUAGUGUUUAUCGUCUCUUAUAUACACCAAUCACAAAUCCGAUUUCCAUCUGAUAUAGAAUUAUUGGAGUGUCAUAAUAGAAUAUCACUUCAUCCCCUACAAUAUAAAUUAAUAACUAUUUUAUCUCUUAAUUAGGGGGCGAAAAUGGUUGAAUAUAGUUGCAGUUUCUAAUAAACCAUAUUCACAGCCAUUUUAUUUAUUUAUUUAUUUAUUUAUUUAUUUUUUGAGAGAUAGGUAGCACGUUACCCGCUUCGUUUAUUUCAUUUAGAAAUAAACUUAGCUGGAAAUGUGAAUCAACUAGGAUUCGAACUUGAGUCUCGGGUACCAACCACCAAGCCCUUUGCCACUUGCUCUAGGGACGGUCGGUUAUUUAUAUUUUUUUCAAUACGAAUUCGGUUACAAAUAUGCGUCGAAUGCUAAAUUUUGACAUUCGUGUUGGAUUGUUGGCGCUAAUUAUUAAUCCAAAAAAUUCAAGAUGUUAGAAAAAUACGACUAAUUUACAUACUUAAAGCGUACAGACACAGUGCUCACGAAUCUCGAUUGUGAGUCAAUUCAACCAGCUUCCCGCCACUUCGAAUAUGACUCCACCAAACCCGACCUCUUGCCCUUCGAACUUGACUAGAUCUAACUUGACCUUCCAUCAUAAAAUAAAAUGCUGAUCUUUUUGAGCCAACCAUCUAUAUGCACAUCCUAUCGAAUUCGCCAUCGAAUUCAAUUCUCGGGAUUAGGAGCCCACAGACAACUUCAACAAAAAGCGGUAUUUUGGGGGAGCUCGUACCAGUACUCAAUGUGGAAUUAAUGGUAGAGUUCCCAAUCAAAAAUGCUAUGUGGAUGUGAAUGUAUUUGAGAGGUAUAUAUAUAUAUAUAUAUAUAUAUAUAUAUAUAUAUAUAGUCACAUUAUUUAAAUUUUUAGGACCUUAUCCUAGUACUAAAACGAUAAUUUUAAAAGAACACCUUCUAGAAAUGGAAACGUAUUUUUAUUUGUGCAAUAGCUUGUGGUGUGUGUGGAUCACAUGCAUGCUAAUACCCAAAUUCUUACUUUGUCACGGCCAAAUUAAUCAAAGACCAAAAAACCCAGGACUACUUCACCAACCAAAUUUAAUAACAAAAAUUGACAUAAAUGAUAAACCCUUAAUUAUAUCUCUUAUGUGAAUGACUCAUUUGUUUAAUACGUAUUACACAGUAGAUAGAAACGUACAAAACUUUUCUUUCUUUGAUUCGCUCUGAUUCGCCUCAAAAAAAGCAGUAGGUGACGGCAAAAAAUAAAAUACGAAUUAAUCCAUUUCUAAUCCGUCCCAACUCGAUAAGAAACAAGACGACAGGUAAGAAACCUCUCCCGCCUCCAGAUCCGCCCCGUUUGUAUUUCUACUCCAGUCUGAAUUUUUUUAACUCUUUAGUUUGGGAAUUCACCAUGGCCAAAUAAAUUUAGAAAUAUAUUCUCUUCUCCUUACGAACAACCUCAUGCACAUAAUUUUUGUCACCCAAUGGCUAGAAUACCUUCCAAUGCUGAUACCCAGUGCAUACGCACAAAUUAGGUUGCACAUUUUUGCUGUUUCUUCAGCGAUUAAUUAUUUUUUAUCACUCACCAUAGUUACUGCCAGAAACAACUCUUAGGGACCGUUUGGUUAUAUGUAAUUACAAAUGCAGUAUUUUUGAAAAUGUAUGCAGUUAAAAAUACAGUAAUUACAAUUACAUGCAUCCUACUUGGUUGGAUAUAGUAAAAAGCAUAACAACUAUAGAUAAUUUGUUCAGUUGCAUGCAGUUGAGAAAUAAAUUUUAAAAUUUUAUUAUUUUAUACAUAUUAUGGUCAGAUUACCUACAACGUAAAAUAAUAAUAAUAAUAAUAAUUUUUUGUUUAAAAAAUAAUUAGAAAGAUAAGCUUACCUUUUGCUUAAAGUCACUCUUUCUAAUUGCUGCAAUUGGACCUCCACCUGCAAUUUCUACCAUAGCAGUUGAAGUUAAAUACAUCGAACAAAACACUGAAUUUGUAUUUACAUGCAGUUAUAACUGUAAUGCAAUGUUAACUACAUGCAACCAAACGACCCUCUUAACAUAAAAAUGAGUCGAUACUUCUCAGCAAGGUCCAAAUGUUAAAUUGGCCUGCCGGCUAGAUUUUCCCGGUCCAAUAGUUUCAACUUUAGGCCCAAAUCAACUCAUUGGUCCAAUCACAUGAUUCUUCAGUGGCGAUUCCUAUCGCAAUUUUAUAGCAUCAGAGAAGUUAAAAAAAAGUAAAUAUUGGACUAGUUUAUUUAAUUAGGAAUUUGUUUUUAUAAACUUUUUCUUUUGUAGUUAUUAUUUCUCCUAUGUUUGUCGAUGUUGUUUUUCUCAUAUUUCAUACGUAAUGUAUGUGUAAUAUCUAUCAGGGAUCAUGUACUAAUACAUGGCAUGUAACUUGAGCAAUCCACCAUCUAAGAUAGAAUCGAAUUAUAUUAGUGAAAAUCUAGACCUUUGUAUUUUUUACUAAAAUAAAUUGAAUAAAUUUGGAUAUUCUCAUUGCAUUUGUGGCUUGGUUUUGCAAUUUUUUUUUUGUUUGUUUGUUCAAAACUGAAUCGAAUUGAAUUAGUAACACAAACCAAACGGUACCGUUAAUUUAACCGCUACAAUUUGGCUUAAUUGGAGUCCAUAUUACAUUAAAAAUUUGUUAAGCUACUAAAAUUAAGAUACAAAUAUGAUUAGUUUAUAUUUCAAUCUUUAAUAUCUAGAUAAUAGUGAUUAAAGUUUCUUUUAAAUGUCACAUCCUAAUUCCCGGGGAAUCACUCUUUACCGAGGCCCCAACUCGAUAAAUCGGGUAUCUUAAACCUAAUAACCUGUCGGGUCCAAUUCACUGGUCCAAAAUGCUAUAGCCCGGUGUGGGAUUAUUUUUAGCCGGGAGUAUUACAAUUAAACUUUAGGAUUAAUGUAAAUAAAUGAAGUUAUCAAAUUUGUUAAUGUGGUUUAUUCAAUUUUUUUAUUUUAAAUUUGCAUAACUGAUCUGAACUGGGAUGACAUAAAAUUGAAUCCGACAAAUCGAAAUGAACUAAAAUUUGGUUUCUACUUAAAGAUCAAAAUUCCUAAUGAUGAAUAUUAGCUAGCAUCUCUUUCAUUUUUGUUAGAGUUAAUUUCAUACGUAAACAAUUGAAUAGCAAAUAUAUUUCUAUUAAAUUUUAAUUUUUUAUAUUUAUCUCUACAAAGUCUAGUGAUAUUAAUAUUUGCUCAUCUGAUUUGUUACUAUUAAAGCACUAUUUAUUUUUUAACCAAAGAUAAAUAAAAUGAUAUUUUUGUCAUCACAAAUAUGUCCCUCCAAAAGUCCGAAUGGUUAGAAAAAUCCUUCCAAAAAUUUUUAACGAUUAUCUUCUUUCUUUCUGCCACCACAUAGUACAAGAGGACUAAAAAAAUCAAUUUACCUUAUUCACUAAGCAGAAUUAAGUAUUUUAUAUAUGAUUAACUAUAUUUUUCUAAUGGAUCUUAACGGUAUGAAUAUAUUUAAAAAUUUUAAAAUUUUUACAUGAAUAAAUAUAAAAAACUAAAACUAAUUUUUAUAAGAACAUAGGAUAUAUUUACAGAAAUUUUUUUUGUAAUUAAAUGUUUUUGUUAUCAAAUAAGUGCGUGGCAUUUAAUAUGUUUAUCACAUAGCAGGGGCUACAGAGAAAUGUUGAAUUGUAAUAGUGAACACAUGGAACAUUCCAGAACAUGCUUUUUUCACCGCCUCUAUUCCAAAUAAUAAGCCCGUUGCGCAUGCCACGUUACUAAUUUUAUUAGCGCAUUUAUAGGUAGGGUCCAUAGAAUACAAAUAUAAAUAUAAAAAAUUUAGUAUUUGAUAUAUAUUCGCAUUCGAAUUCUCAUGCAAAAAAAAAUAAUAUGAAUAUGAAUAUAAUUUCUAAAAAAUAAUGAAAGCGAAUUUAGUGUUCGACACAUGUAGGAUAUAUAGUAAAGCAAGAGAAAUAUUAAUUUAAUGUUGAUUAUUAAGUGAUAGAAAAUCUUAAUUAGCAUGAGUUAGGAAAUAUUUUUAAUUUCAUAUUUGAUAAAAAUUAUUAAUAGUCAAUUUAUAAGAAUAUAUUAAUUCUUAAUAACCUCACAAUCUAUGACUUUUGUAAGUUUAUAGAAAAAUUAUCAUUUCAAAUAUAAAAUAUACAACAUAAUAUUGGAUCCGGACCGGGUUGGAUUUGGUUAAUAAGCCAAAUUUCAAAAAAAAUUUAUAUAAUUAAAGAUAUCAUAAUAAAAAUAGACAAUUGAUUGUAGGGGAAACUUUAAAUACCCCCGUGGUUUCUCAUUUCUAACUUUAGUACCCUUUGGUUUCAAGUGUAUUAAGUUAGUGCCUUGUUGUUUCGCACUUUCUUACUUUAGUACCCUAUGGUUUCAAGUGUAUCAAGUUAGUACCCUGUGAUUUUAUUUUUGUAUCAAGUUAGUACUCUGUGGUUUCAAUUUUCUCUUUUUAUUAUCCAUUUCGGAAUAUAUAAUUUAACGAAAUAUUAAACCACAAGGUACUAAAGUGAGAAAGCGCGAAACCACAGGGUACUAACUUGAUACACUUGAAACCACAUGGUACUAAAGUGAGAAGGUGAGAAAUCACAGAGUACUAACAUGAUACACUUUAAACCACAAAACAUUAAAAUGAGAAAGUGAGAACUUGAGAAACUACGGGGGGGUAUUUGAAGUUUUCCUUGAUUGUAUAUAUUUAUAUUCGAUUUGGACUUAUAUUUUAAUUUGAACAAAAUAAUUUGUCGCUGACGUGUUGCAUAUUUGCCACCCCAAUGGCCGUCUAAACAAAGUCGGCAGCGAAGCUACAUCGCGCGCCGAAUUUUAUGCUAGCCCAAACUAGCCAGACAUAAAACCAGAGUCGGCGGCGAAGCUACUUCGCACGCUGACUUUUACCUUCAGACGGCGACGCCCUUUACGGCUUUACCCGACGACCGACCUGCCCCUUCUCCGACCUCAUCUCCCCCCUCCCACAAAAUCCCUCACCGAUCCCGAUUAGGGUUUCAUUUUCCUCCCCCAUCGCCUCCUCCUCCUCCUCCCAACGCCAAGCCCCCAUGUCGACGCUCCCCGACGAGGUAUGGCUCCGGAUACUCGAGCUCGGCGCGGCGAGCUCCAUCUUGGGUUACCGUGACCUCUGCCGCGUCGCUAUCGCCUCGCGCCGCCUCAACCGCCUCUCCCAGGAGCCCUCCCUCUGGGGCGCCCUCCUCGCCCUCGACUUCCCCUUCUCGGGUUCCGAAACCCCCUCCAAAUCACUCUACAAGAUCAAGUACGAGAUCGUUCCCUUUCUUCUGUUCUGAAUCCGAUCUCUUGAGCGGUGGGUGUGGAACUUAGGGUUUGGGGAGGUUUUUGGUAGGUUUGAGAAGGACAAGGCGCGGAGGAUCGCCAUGCGGAGGAUGGCAGUUAUCGGAGCGGAGGAACGGGUGUUGCUGACCAAGAAGAAGUUGGCGGAUUUGGAGCUUUCGAUGGCGAGGGAGGGCGAGAGGAUGAAGGCGACAUUGGAGGAGUUGGAGAAUUUGGAGAGGGUCAGGUAUUAGUGAAAUUUACCUAUUUGAAGUGGUUAUUAAUGAAAAGAAAAAAAAAAAAAAAGAAAGAUGAUUUUGAAUGGCCAUUUGAAGUUUCAGCUUGUUUGCUAUUAUCAGUGUUUGAAUUUGAUCAUGUUUUGUAUAUUUGGUAUUGAAAAAUGAUUGCUAUGAUUUGUGAAAUGUGUGAUAAUAUUAGUCUACUUGAAAUGGUUUAAUUAUGCAUAUGCAGGUAAAAAGCACUUUUUGUUAGCUGAAGAAGCAUGUACAAAGGCUUUUCUUAAUUUUUUUUUUGCUUUUAAAGUAUGAUUUAGCAUUGUCCUGCAAAUGGGUUUCCAACAAAUUGCAUGUUGUGCAUAUAUAUCUUCCUAGAAGAUCUUAUGAUGGGCUUAAUGAUGCUAAAAGGGGAAAAAAAAAAAAAUAUAAAACCCUCUAAGGUGUCAGUAGAAGCUUUUCUGUUGUUCAGAAGUAGAAGCAUAUUUCAACUUACCUCCCUGUAAGAUUUUUGUAAGUGGCCACGAUCUCUUGGAAAAUUUCAUUAAUCACGGAAAUUUCUUCUUUUUUUUUAGUAAUUUGAUAUUGAUUGUUUGAUAUAAGCCGUGAAGUGUUUGUUGUAAUUGAUCCUCUUGUUUUUAAUGCCUGUUAAGUCAUCGAUCAUGUUUCACGUUGCCCACGCUGCUUAGAUCAAAUUUUGAUGAUGAGAAGACUGUUGGGAGAUAUAGUUCUGAUACCAAGCUAAUGCGAUCUCACUGUCCAGAUGUAACAAUGUCCUCAAUUUGGUUGUAUCAAACUAGAUUUGGAUUCAAUUUUUGCUCGAAUUUUCUAAAGAGAAUUGCUAUAUGGAAUUGGUUUCCAGCAGACACUUAGUGUAAAACUUGAUUAAAAUCUGCUAGAGGUGCUUUGGCAUGUUUCUCUAAAUUUAGUCAGAAGUCAGAAUUUUGCAAAGAAAACUCCCGAGAUUGGUAAAUAUGUCUUUGAUUUCCUUUUUGGAGUUGUUUUACCUCUAUAACUAUUGAUGUUCUCAAGAUUCGGUCAUAAUCAACAUAUUGCCUUAAGAAUUUAAUUGAUACUUAGUUUCUGUUUGUCCUCAUUUUGCACUAAAUGAUUUCUUUAGGAGCGCAUCUGUGGCAUUAAAUGUAUGGCAACCGGAAGUUGUUCGUGGGCGUCAAAAGCAGAUAGUUGAGCAAUGCACAGUGCCUGUUGAGUCUCGUCUUAAUGCUCUUAGAAUGGAGGCUAGAGUUUGUAAGAAACAAAUCGAAACUUUUAAAAAGGCCUAUGUAUGUCUCUUCAUUUUCAUGUUAUAAUAUAUAUAUAUACACCUUGGAAAGAUGUGGACAAGGCUGUGUUACUAUCUUGCUUUCAUUGACACUGACAGCACAACGAGAAGCUCAAGUUGAGUGAGUACGAGGAGAAACUGAGAUCAUUGAAGUAUCACCCGCUUAGUAGUGAUCAGUUGAUUGGAACCGUUGACAGUUUGAAUCCAAAAAGGCAGAAGUUGAAGCACAGUCACAGUAAGCAUUUCUCGAGCUUAAAUGUCUAUGCUCUUCUUUGCAUGUCACCUCACCCCCUGCAUGUUUAACCUUUUGGUUUCGAUCUCUUUUUCUUUGUAAAUACUCAUUGACUUUACUGCAGGUGAGAAAAGUUACUAAUUAUUGACGAAUUUUAGCGAACGCUGACAUUUUGGUUGAGUGUUCCUCUGGAAUGCAUAAUGUGUCUUGCAUUAUCUUAUCAUUCCUUUUCUUUGGAUGGUUAUGCUCGCGCUUGACUACUUGAAGAAGUCGAGGUCGUGGAUCAUAUGCCAAUUGUAAUGGGCUCUUUUGCAUGUUGUAAAUACAUAUGAAUAGUUUUACAUAAUUUAUAUCAUACAAGCUGAGCACUAGUUAAGGUGUCAGCAAGAAAUUAGAUGCUCAAAUUUUGUGUUAGAUUCCAUAAUUGAUGGUUGUUGAUAAUCUUUGCAUCAAGUUUGCUUCUUGGUUAUUUUGAAUUGGUGGGUUUUUUGCCAACCAUAUUAUCUAAUGCCUGGAUAUAUUUGCGAUUGGAUGUAUUAAUCACCGUAGAUGGGUGGCUGAUUCUCCUUAUAUGUACUAUUUCUCUGUGCACGGAUUUGCAGUGAAUGCAUCCAUCGUUCUUAUAUGCUACUGAUUUGUUGAUGUAUAUUUUGUGGAGACUUUUUACUCAUUUAUACACACAAUUUUAAUUUGUUUGGUACAAAGCUUACCAACACAUACUAUCUAGUUUGGUGGUUUUGUUGUCUAUCAUGCGUCUAAUGAUCUGAUGCUGUCCAUCUUUUUAAGGUCAUUGUUGGAGUGUUGCUGUGUUUGUCGGCACAUUUUUAUUACUAGAUAAAUAAUGUUGAAAAAUUAUGAUAUUUGAUUUCUGCAAAAUUCAAUUAGUUUAGAUAAUGGUGUGAUACCCAAGAAUAACAACUGAGAGCUUUCAUGUAGUAUAUAUUGUUGAUGUCAAAUCAUGCUCAACACCUGAUUACUGUAGACGUAAUUGCACUUUUGCUCCUCAAACUAUGAGGUGCUUGAUAUUUUAGUACUUAAACUUUGAUUAAUUAUAAUUUUUGACAUAAACUUUCUAAAAAAGUUUUGCAAACCGAUUUAGCUGACUAAAUAUUGACAAAUUAUUAAUAUGGAAGUGAUAUAGCAUGGUAAUUAUUGUAUAUUAAUAAUUUGUUGACAUCUAGCUAACUAAAUUAUGCUGUGGAACUCGAUUGUGAUAAUUUAUUAAGUCAGAAAUUGUAACAAAUUAAAGUUUGGAGAUUAAAGUGUCGCGCCCCUCCUAGUUUGAAAAUCAAAAGUGUGAUUUACCUUUACUACAAUGUCUUGCAAAUAAUUAUGCACCAAAUAAGAAUGUUUAGUCAUCCAAACUGGUUUCUAGCAGAGCAUUCUAAGCUGAAAGGUGGCCAACUAAAAUGGACAACCUUUGCAAUCAAGGUUCUGGCUCGGGAUUCAUAUGGGUAAGAUUUAAUUUGGGUUAAAUUUUAGAAGCGUUUUUAUAGGAUUGGUCCAAUAGCUGGAAGGACCGGCAAUCCAGCUUGUGUUUGGCUCGAAAUGUGCUCGAGAUCAAUCGUUUUUUAAAUAAACGAGUAGAGCACGAGUUGGGACUAGCUCUUUUGUGUUCGGCUUGAUAUAUAUAGAUUUUAGGUCAAGUCAAAUGUAAAAAAGAUUUAUAUUACAAUAUUUUACUAUUUGGAUCUUAGGCUAAUCUAAAUAUAAAGAGAUCUAUAUUUUAUAAAUUUUAAUUAUGGGAUUAAAAUUUUAAUUUUUUAAUUUUCUUUCAACUUUUUACUAGUAGCAGAAGUGAUAAUCUUAACUUGUUAUUCGUAAGUCAGCUCGAGCUUGGUUUUUUAACAUGGGUCCCUAGCUCGCUCGUUUUCGGCUUUUUGACAGCCCUAAAUAGCCCUUGCUAAAAUUGUUGAUGGAUUGGUCCAAUGUAAAUCCGAGUGGUUCACAGUAACUAUAAUUAUAAACUUAGUUCAAAUCACCCGUGGGAUAUGGAAAUAUAAAGUUAGGGAUAUCAUAAAUUUUAACCCUUUCCACAUAACUAGUGUUUUAAAUAGCGAUCGCUAAAUUGUAUAUGCUAUUGCUAUAUCAUAACCUCUAAAGCGAAAUUUAGCUGAUUGGGUUCAAAACGGCCACUUUAGCGGUGUAGGGCCUACUAAAACGGUUGUUGUAAAGCAGUCGAAAAGUGGGCACUAUGAGCCAAAAACUUAAAAAAGUGCAAACUAGUUAAAACAUCAAAUCGGAUCAGGUUCUCAAGUAAAUGACCAAAAUACGUCUAGUGAAGGAGAAGAAGAAUGCUUUCCUGAUGAAUAAGAUUUUAAUUAUAUACCCAAGAUAUCAUUUUUUGAUAUUUAUUUACAAAUUGUUUGAAUUAUUAAUGGAUUAUAGCUUUUUGAGUUUUAUAUCUUUUCGGUUUGCUAAAUCGUAAUAUUUUAAAGUCAAUUUUAAUAGAUAAUGAUAUUAAAUAUGUAUAGGUUUGCAAUAUUGAAAAAAAAAAAUAGUUAUUUUUUCUUUAAAAUUUUAUUUUUUUAAAAAAUUAAAUAUAUAUUUUUUAAAGAAAAUUAUAUAUAUUUUUAAAGAACAUGAAUAUAAAUAUAAACGUAAUAAGUUUGCUUUUAUGAAACCCGUUAUGGGUUCAUAGCACAUGCUAUGCACCCGCUAUCUGUUUUUCGUUACAAAAUUCUCCAAAUGCUAUGUGCCAGUUAUCCGCUAUUUACAAUGUUACAUAUAACAAAAUAGAGCAUGUAGCUAUGGUCCAUUACAACAACUAUUUAAUGCCACAGCAAAUCAACUAAUUAAUGCAUCUAUUUUUAACAUUUUAUCCCUUUUUUGUGGCGGAUAUUGGUGGAUAACAGGUCCCAUUAAUCUGCAAUCCUCAUCCGAAAUAGGGUUGUUUUCUGAGUUUUUGCCAAAGAGAAGAAAAAUACAAAAUGGAUAAUUUUUAAGGAUUUGGAUCAUAUACUAUAUAUGUGGUUGUAUAAAGAAAUAACCAUCCAAGCUAGCUUCAAAUUGUGACUAGAAAUCUAUAUUAGAUUUAUAAGGUAAAUUUGGCAAUUAGGUUUAGAUUUGCUAUUCCCUAUGUUUUUAAUCAACUUAAAUUCACUAGUGGCCACCCCUAAUUUGAAAAUCCCCAUCAACUUAGAAUGAAAUUUAAUGUAGAGUUUUUAGGAUCACUUGUAGAAUAGGUCUUGAAAUAUUGGAAUGAAUGAAUAAUCUUAUCCAGCAUAUUUCUUUUGUCUAUUUAAUGCGAAUGUAAUAAUAAGUAAUAGACAUGGAACUAGACUAUUAUACUAUUAAUGGCACCGGAUCAUUUGCAGUAUUAGAUUUUCAGCCUUUGGAUGAAGAAAUGUGCGGUUAGAAUGAUAGUGAUCCCCUAGGGUUGAGUAGGUUGUUGGUUGAAUAAUAUGAUCUAACAGAUAAAAGUGGUCAAAGGGUAAGAUCUAAUGGCAAAACACUUAAUAACACCAAGCGAAAUUGAUGAAGAGUAUGCUUAGAUUAGAUAUCUAUAAAUAUAUUAUAUUCUGCCUCUAAAUUAUUUUUCAAAAUAAAAAAAAUCGUUCAGCACAUUAUGAGGACUAAACUAAAAGCGAGAAAGUACUCUGCAUUUAUAUAAGAAAAUUCUCAUGGCACAUAUACCAUAUAAUACUUGAUAACUUAUUCUGAUAUCCAAAUAAGCAUUUAUAUAAGAAAAUUCUCAUGGCGCAUAAACCAUAUAAUACUUGAUAACUUAUUCUGAUAUCCAAACAAGUUCUAGAAACCGUUCAUUCAGGCAUUACUAAUAUAUAAAAUUCGGGUAAUCCAAAAAGAUUCUUGCCAAAAUCUUUUCAGGUAUUUGCUAAUCUAUGGUUUAGAUUUAACAAAUCCUUACAUGUACUUGUCUUAUAAAGGGACACUCUAUUAUUGUCCCUCAUCCUAUGAGCUAGUGGUAUCCAUUAGAUUUUUGGUAUCAAAUUCAAUUUACAUCCAAAUUUUAUAUCUUCUAUUAUCAAAACAAGAUAUUGGGGGGUGUUUGGCCCUACUGCUGAAAAGUGAUUUUGAGUCCAAAAAUGAUUUUGGGCUCACAAGAGUGUUUGCAACAAGUGCUCAAAAAUUUGAUUCUACUUUUCAGAAUCAGAAAACUGAUUUUGAAGGUCCCAGAAUCAGAAGUAAGAAAAAAAAAAACUACUUCUUAAAAUCUGAUUCUGAUUUUGAACUCAAAUUUCAAAUUUUUAUUUUAAUUUUAGAUUCAAAGUUUAAAUUUAAAUUUAAUUCUAAUUUUUAGAUUUUAAAUUCAUAUUUGAAUUUUUAAAUUUCAACUUUUCGAAUUUAAAUUUUAAAUUUUAAAUUUUAAAUUUUAAAUUUUAAUUUCAAAUCUCAAAUUUUAAAUUUUAAAAUUCAAAUUUAAGAUAAAAUUUAAAAUUUGACAUUUUAGAUUUUAAAAUUUAAAAAUACAAGUUUUAAUCUUCAAAUUAUAAAUUUCAAAAUGUUAAAAUUAAAAUUUAAAAUUUUUAAAAAUCAAAUUCUAAAUUUUUAAAAUUUAAAAUUUAAAACUAUAAAAUUAAAAUUUAAAAUUUAAAUUUAAAUUUAAAAAUUCAAAUUUUAAAUUUCAAAAUUUUAAAUUUUAAAUUUACUUUUUAAAUUAAAAUAUCAAAUUUAAAAUUUUGUACAAAUUUGAAAUUUAAAAUUUUAAUUUUAAUUCAACUUUAAAUUUUAAUUUUAAAUUAUUUAGAUAAAAUUUAGCUAAAAUAUUAAUAUGUGCCAACAUCAAAAUUUUUUUACCAAACAGCCUUACAAAAUUACUUCCGAAAAAUCAUUUUUAUUUAAACUCAACCAAACGCUCUGCAGUUUUUAUCCAAAGUAAAAUUUUCAAACCAAAAUAAAUUCUGUAAAAAUUACUUUUCCAGAAUCUAGGUCAAACAUGCCCCAUUAAAAGGCAAAGGAACAAUUUGAAAACCUCAAAUUUUGCUCAAUUUAUCAACUUUGACCUGUGCAAUUCCUCUAGUGGCUCUCAUCUUAACAAAUUGACACUAUUUUAGAGCUUAGGUUAUUUAAGAAUUUCAAUACAAGCUUUGAGAAAUUGAAUUAUCUUAGGAUAUAUAUAUAUUUUUUAAAUUACUAUGCCUUAGGGGAAAAAAAAGGAACUAACUUUCGAACCAAUCAACUCUAUUGCUCUAAUAUUCCUCGCUUCAUGCAAGGCUACUUUUGCAUGGAGACAUUUUCAUCGUUUAUAUUUAACACUUUCUCUACUAUAUUCCAACCAAAUAACUUGGAUCUUUUGUUCUGAUACGACGUGAAAAUUUCUCUCUGAUGUAAGCUAUGAAAAGAUAAAAUUUUAAUAACUUAAUAAUUUUCACCAACUUUUAUAAGAUUUAAUGUAUAAGGGAAAUAUCAUAUAGAUCCAAGAAAUGAGGAAGAUUCUUAUUUUUUACAAAAGUUGGAAGAUCCCAAAUAAAUGACUACUUAGAGAUGUAAAACGGGCCAGGCGGCACGUAGGCCACCCGGCCCGGCAUGGCCUCGGGCCGGGCCACAUCACGGCACGGGUACUGUAGCAUCCGUGCCGGGCCGGGCCGGGCCGGCCCGAAGCUCUAGGCCGUGCUGGGCCACUAUUUUGGAGCCCAAAGGCCCGGCACGGCAUGGGCCGAAUCGCGGCCUGGGCGUACGUGCGCCGAGUUAAGGCUGGCGGCCCGGCCACGCCACGACCUGCUUGGCCUUUGGCCGUGCGCAGCCUUGGUCCCCAUCGCCCCCAAGCAUUGCCUUGGCAGGGGUCUGAGCUCCUGGCGGAGGAGAGCUCGGUCCUCCUCCCAGGAUCUCUCCUCCACAGGUCUGCUGAGAGAGUCUUUGACGUCCAAUGACCAAAGACUUUUGCGUCCAUUGGCAAAAGUCUUAUAACAUUUUAGUUUUUUUUAUUUUUUUAAUAGAAGUUUAAUACAGAAUUAAUUAUUUUUUUAAAAAAAUUAAAUAUUUCUAUUUAGUAUAAUUAUUUUAUUAAUUUUUUUAAUAUUUAAUCAUAAAUAUUAAUUUAAAUAAAUAUUUAUGUUUUAUAUUUUAAAAUUUCAUACUAAAUUUUUUAAAUUUCUUAAAAAAAUAAAACUUUAAUAAGCCGGCCGACAGACAGCCCAGCCCGCACGGCUCCGUUCCUUACCGGCCAAAGUGCCGCUGCGGGCAGAGGAUAGAAAACAUUUGGGCCCGACACGGCCCGCCCGAUAAUUAAAUCCCGGCAGGCGCCCUGCAGGAACCCUAGCCCGAUUUUGGCCAAAAAAUGUGGGCCGUGCCGGCCCGCACGUCCCACAAUUACAACCCCAUGAACUACUUAGAUAUAUUAGUGUUUAUUUAUUUUUUUUCUAUCACUUACUUAUCUAAGAGUUGCCACUAUUGUCUGUAGAUCUACACAAGAGAAAAAAAAAAUGAUUUGUUUUAGAACCUAAUGCAAUAUUUAAUUGGGAUGAAUUUACCAAUUUAUAACAUGAGAUAAGAGUCACCGACCGUCCCUAAGCAAUGGCAAAGGAUUAUGAUUUUUACAACCGUCCCAAGUUCAACACUAAGUCUUAUACACUUUUUAGCUAAGUUUAUUUCGCAUAAAUGAAAUAACAAGCAGUAGCGUUCCUACCAAUCUCUCUUGCAAAAAAAAAAAAAAAAAGAGUUUCAGCUUCCACAUGAACUUAAAUUUAGGCUAAUGUAGUAAUGCUUCUAACCUCAUUUCAACCGUAUAGUUAGAUACUUUUACAAGCGUCGUUUGUUAGACAUGUAGUUACAAUCAGUUAGUGGAGAUGUAUGCAGUUGGAAUACUAACAGUUGUGUAACUACGUGCAGUCUGUUUGUUUCAGUAGAGUAGGGAACACGUUGCAACUAUAAUUAAUUUGUCUUGGUUGAAUGUAGUUGAGAAAUAAUUUUAAAAUUAUCGACUUUUAUAUUAUUAUGAUGGGGUGUGAAUGAAUACCUCCAAUAUAACAAAAUUAUUUUUGUUUAAAAGUAAUUUAAGGAGGUAAGAUUACAUUUGUUUAAAGUUGUGCUCUUCACUGCUGCCGAAAUGAAUUACGGCAUAUUAAGCGUAGUUCAACUGCCUGCUGAGUUAGCCUCCUUCUGCAGUUCUCUAGCUGCCAACAGUAAGAUAAACUAUAUUAAACGAGAAAUAUUCGGUACUUUUAAAAAAAAAUAAAAAUGAAUCUUAACCGUUAUAAUAGAGUAUAUAUAAUGUAACUUUAAUACUUAGCAGGUAAAAGAAUUAUUUAUUCAAGCGUUAGUUUGUAAUUAAUAAUACAAUAUUUUAAAAGAAACUUUUUAAUUGAUGUCCUAAAUUUUAUGCAUUAAUUGCACUAAUUCUAGACAAAUUAAUUAUUAACCCAAUUAUGCAAUUAUUAUCCAUUAAUUAGAAUUUACUUAAUGUUUUAGGUUCUCCAAUUAUCAUUAAUUCUUAAAUCGUAUAGAAUUUAGACAGAAAUAGUUUUAUUUAUAAAGAGCGAUGAAUUAAUUUAAAAAUUAAAUACUUAAAAUUAAAAGUGAAAUUGAAUUAGAGAGAAUUUCAUAAUUACUAUUUUUAAAACUAAAUUCUACCAGAAUUUAAGAAUACAAGUUAUCGCACAGUUUCCAAACGUAAUGCAUAAAAACUUUAGAGAGUAAGAUUUUACAACUAGAUUUCUCUAAUGAAUUUCAUAUUACUAUUGAAAUUUUAAAUCAGAGAUUUUAAAAACUAGAUUGAAACGUUGAUUUAUCUCUGAUCAGACUAUUGACCUCUUCUAUCAAGUAUUGAUUUAACCUAUUGAACCGAAACCGGUAAAGUAUAAUAAACGAUUUCUAAACAGAAUGAUAUUUAACUUAGAACGCUAAUAAAUAUUUUAAAUAUACGUUUUAAACAUAUAAUUAAAAGAUUAGAAUUAUUGUGAGAUAAAUAAAAUGUUAUGGAUAUUGAAUUCGAAUCUCACUAACAAUCACAAACUUAUUUCCGAACUCACAAUUUCAAAAAUCCAUAUCCAAAUUCAAAACUGACCAAUUUUUCGAAACCCAAAACCAAACCUAAACCAGAAGACUAGAAUUCAAACAAUUAUUUCUGUUUACCAUAUUUCAAAGUAUUUAUAUGAAACUUAAAUUUUUAAAAUAUAAAUUUGAAUAUAAUAUUAAAUUUUAAAUUUAAAAGUGAAAUUUAAAUUAGAGGAAUUUCAUAUUACUAUUUAAAGUUUAAAUUCAAUGAUCAUAUUGUCAAAUCAUUUGAAAUUUUUCUUAUAUGAAAUGCUAAAUUAUGAAAGGAAAGAUAGAGAGAGAAAAAGGAAACAAAGAAAAAAUAAAAAUUUUGAAAAUAUAGUAGAUGUAAAAUGACUAAAUUGCCUAUGUAUUAAAAGACAAAAAUAUUCUUUUUUGAGAUACCUGGUAACCGGUACCUCUCCCAAAGUAACCUGCUAUUGCAGGUCACAAUUUUAAAAAAACUAAAUCUGAGCCGUUGAAUACGCGUGAAUGAACGGUAACAAAAAAAAAAAAAAGUAUAGAAGCUUUACUCAUAUUAAACCAAACACUAAAUUUGCAUUUGCAAUGCAGUUACAACUGUAGUGUAAUUGCAAUUAUAUGCAACCAAACGGUCCCUUAGAGGAUUUUAAGGAUAUAAGAGCCUAAAGACGAUUUCAAUUAUAUGAUACAUAACCUCAGUUUAAGGGCUAUUUAGUUGAAUGAUAACCAGUACAAUAGUGUUGCAACUAGAAAUGUCCAAAAUAUUCAAUAAUCCAUACUGAUCUAGACUCGAUUAAAAGUAGGUAGCAUAGGAGUGAAAAAAAUUGUCAAUUAAAGUUUCGAGUAGGGGUUUAGAUAUCUUAUAUUCAUAUCUGAUCCGGAUUAGAUCCUAUAGUAGGCAGGGUCCGGAAUAAUUUUUAUAUCCUAACCCAGUAAUCUUGAAUAGUUUUUAUAUCGGACCCAGUAAAAUAUCCAACCGUAAAAAGUUAAAGCAAAGGAAAAAAAAAAUUAAAAAAAAAUUAUGAAAAUUGAAAAACUUAUACUUAUUUUCUCACUAUAAUAUUUUGGACUUAUUGUGUAUGAUCUACAUUAUAGAAGGCGCAUUUGUUCUAGACAUAUGGUGCAUGUUAUGUCACUACUUGUAUAUAUAUAUUAUGUAAUUAUGUAAUAUGUGUUCUGAGUUGUUAAUAUAAUUUUAACUAUUAUGACAUUGAACAUUUUAGAGUGGUGGUUGCAUGUGUUUAAGAGUAAUUAAUACAUGUGUAGGAAUUAAAAAAUUUUGUAUUUUUAUUUUGAACUUAUCACAUAAUAAAUAUUUAUAUUUUAUGUCAUGAUUACACAGUAGCAUACAAAUAGUCACUAUUCAAAUUCGCUUAAAUAAAUUCGAUAAGUACAUUAGUGACUUAAUUAUUCGGAUCUGAACUCGUUGCGAAGUUGUAUCGAUAGAAUAUAUAUAUAUAUAUAUAUAUAUAUAUAUAUAUAUUUAUAUUUAUUUUUUAGAGUAUGGAUACAGCAUAAUAACUAUUCUGAUCCGACAUGGAUUUAUGAAUAUCUCUAGCUAAUUCCAUAGAAAAAUUUAUGCAAAUGCCACAUCCACCGUUCACUAUAGCCCAUGCUUUAAAAUGGACGGUGGAGAAAUAAACAAAAUUAUUUAUCCAGUUCCGAACGGGAAAACAGUACGGCCCCGACCAAUCCCAUGGAUUCGCGCCACGAGAGACGGGUUGACACCGCUCCACGUCGCCAUCAAAAUAUGACGAAAAUACCCCUAUCUCUGCUACACUACAAAAGCCCAUCCAACGUUUAAGCCGUAAAACACUGAGGGGCUUUUUCGUCCUUUGGCUCAAAAUAUUACCACGUUACCGAAUAUACCCUUUCGACUCUACGAAACGAGCCGCGAGACAUAAGAGUAUAAUAGUCAUUUCACCACCGAUCUCAGUGUGCGUGCUCAUAAAUUCCCCUGUAGUUCGCACCGAAAUCAACGUUCUCUCUCCCCCGUCGAUCGCUUCGUCACGGAUUGGACGGCUGAGAUCGACCGAGAUCUCCGAUCCGUCCCUUCGAAGGAAACCAACGGUAGAGAUCUCGUCCAAGUAAGUUGAUACACGAUCCUUUUUCCAUUUUCUUUUCUUUUUUUUUUUAAUUUAUAUUUGUAUUUGUUUUCAUUAAAUACUAAAAUUUUGGUUGAGUUUUGAGGAAGCGUUACACUUCGAAUGAGCUAAAGAGUUUCGCAAAUAGAGAUUUUUUUUUUUUUUUGUUAUAAUUUUAUCUGUGUCAUUUUAGUUUUCUUAUAAUGUAAAGAAAUUAUGUCAAUUCUUAUUAGAAUUCGAAUUUGGAUUUGGAUUCGAAUUUGAAUUUAUUUUGAGCCAUACAGAAGAGUUUGAAUCAUGUUUUACAUAAUAUAUUCUCUUCUAACUCGGUUGGAAAAUUUUAAUCCAUUCCGACUCUCAUCGGUAAACUUGCUGGAAAAUUGAAAACUUAAUUAUUUGAACAUGAAAAUACGUAAAUCAAGUAGCACGGGAACAAUAUGAUCUUAAAACACCUAAGUGAUACAGAUGAAAUCUCAAAAUAGCGAUGUUGAAUAUGCAAUAUAAAAUUUAGAUUUUUUUUAAAAGAAAUAUAGUUUGCAUACUAAGAUUAAGAAACUUCUAGGACUUGUUUAGUUCACCUAUUUUAGACUAUGAAAUUAAAAUGAUCAUUGAUUUCGAUAAUUGUUAUUUGUUUUAUAGGAAUCAGAUUUCGAUUUCUAUUUCGGCCACUCUGGAAUGGAAACGAUCCACUUUAUUCAUGCCUCAAUCCGACUUUUAAUUUUUAAAUUGGUCAAAUCUAAAACAGAUACAUUUCUCUUCUCCCGUCGUCAGUCUCAUCUUUCUCAAUCAGAAUCCCCUCUUAAAGUUUUAAAUGUCCAUUCUAAUUUUCAUUCCAGUAAUAAACUCGUUAAUUUUAGAUAAUCCAUCAUUUUAUUUUUCAUUUCUAUUUCAAUCAUAAAUCAAAUAUGCCCUUAAAAUAAUUAGUUAGGAAAAUGAGCUUAAAAAAACAUUGAAUCUUAUAAUUAGCGUGUUUUGUUCUUGUUCUUGUUGUAUUAGCAUUCAAUGGGACCCUUAAUGCUUAAUUUAGUGGCUCUAAUUAAGCCAAUCAAUUCAAUUGUUGUCAUGGUGCUUUCUUUUUUAGAUAUUAUAGUUUUAACUGCAUACAAAUUCAAAUAUAGCGUUUAGAUCUAUGCAUUUUUAUUCCACUAUUUCAAUUAGAGCUACAUUUGGAUUGUGAGAGGUUCCAAUUUUGCGGAAAAAAAAAUCAAAAUCCAAUGUUGGAACUAGCAAAUAAAAACGACAUAACUAUAACAGCUGCAGGGGCACAGAAUUAAACGAAAUAAGUAUUUUCAGCUGUAUGUUUCUUCUAGCUACACUGCAUUUAUAAUUAACAUUGAUGAGAGGUUUUUAAAAAGGAAGAAACAAUAAGUACGGGAAGUGGCGGCGGACAGAAAUGUGCGGCAUUGAAUUGCAAAUGACAAAAUUGAAUCUAAAACAUCUCGAAACUAUCGGAGCUUAGGAUUAGUUCUGAAACUGUUAUGCUCGUCUAAUUGUUCUAUUAGAAAAUAGUUCAGAAAUAAUCUGAACAGAAUUGAAAAUUCAAAUUCUUGGUCACAUUCUAAAAUUAUUACAUUUUGAUAGAAAAUAACAAUUGUCUUAAUAUACUACUGGAUGGAAAAGUAGAAACUCAAUUUGAGCCAGUAGAAAUGAAUGAUGAUUAAAAUUUCUAAAAUGAUGAAGUAUGUGUAAAACUCGGACCGGGCCCAGCCCGAAACCAAAAUUUUGACCCGGCCCGUUAUUUGCCAAACCUACCUGCUUAUGCAAUUGUUGUUUUGGAUGUAUACUUAGGUUUUGUUUGGUAUUGCGGUAGCUAAAAACAUCUGCUUGUUUAUUUGAAAAUGCCUAAAAGUUAAAAAGCGAUUUUAAUAGUUCCUCCUCCAAUGUUAUAAACUGGUGGUAGGAAUCGCGGUCGAAACCGUAAAGAGAGGGGAAGAGGGGAUUAUAUUAAUUGACGAAAUAAUUGGCAAUUAAUUGUUGCUUUUUGGCCUACUAUUUUACACAAGAAGCUAUUUCACAAAACUUGCUUCCUCCACAAACUGAUUUUUAUUUCUGUUGCUAGACUCCGUACGUCUCAUUUUAAGAUCCUUCUGAACUAGUCAAAAAUAUAUAUACUUUUUUUCCCGAAAAGCUAGAGGAUUGAAAAGCCUCAGCGCAAAACAGAUUGGCAGAAGAUCAAAUCGCUGACCUCUUAGUUGACAAAUAAGAGUACCAACCAACUACGCUAAAUAGUGAUCGGUAGUGCAAAAUCAUAUGCUGCUGGUCCAUACUGACAAUUCAUCUCUUUAUGAAUCAUUAUGGCUAUCCCCACUUGAACACUUAAUAUCAUCAAUUAUGUUGUCCUCUACAUUGCAUCUGAACAGUGAACACAUCCUAAAUAUCUGAGGGUAAUGGAUGUGUAGGUACAUCUAUAUAUUAGGGUCUACUAUAAUUUGUAGUUUAGGUUAUAAAAAAGCUCAAAUUUACAUCUCUUACUUAUGUCAUGUCACUCAUAAGCAAUAAACACUAUUUUGAAAGCUCAAAUUAAAAGAAAGAGGAGAACCGAGUCGUUUAAAACGUACAGACGCAAUGCAUAUUUGAAUUCUAAAAAGUAAUUCAAAAUUUGUAACUUGCUUUUAUAAAUUGUAUUAUAGUUGUGCUUUAGAAGGAGCCUUUUAUAAUUCGCCACCUCGAAGCUCUCAUUUUACAUUGUUUUGAGAUGGUGAAAGAUUAUUAAAAUAUUAAGUGGCGUUUAAGCAAGAUUUUAUAUCUCCAAAGAAGGAUUAAGCUUCUCUAGAAAUUGGAUGAGGCACUCUUAAUUGUAGGGAUUUUGUCAAAGAUUAGUCUAAACCAACAUUAGCUUUUACACGCAAAAAUAUAAGAAAAAAAAAAGGAAAAUUACCAACAUUUGCCACCAUUAGGGGUAGGAAUGCAGACGGGGCGGAUCCGGGUGCGGAAGGAGUUUCUCACCUCGUGCUCCAUUUCUUAUCAGAUCGGGACAGAUUCGAACCGGACUAUUUUUAGUUUUAUUUUUGACCCCUACUGAUCGCUUCAUUUCAAUCAGAUUAGUGCGAGAAUGAAUUUUUCGCAAACUUUUCAUAAAUCAUAUUAGACUAAAUGAAGAAAAAGGUCUUAUGCCUCCCGCUCCAUUUAUUUGGCGUGUCGAGACGGAUUCAGGAACGGAUUACAUAAUUCUAUAUAUUUUUUUAUUUUCACUUAUCGUCCGUCCUAUUCAAAAUUGAUCGGAAUGAGAGCUCCACCAACCCGGAUCCAUUUGCAUCUCUACCUAAUUAGAUGUAUCCAUCAAGUUGACAAGAAAAAAAAAAAAAAAAGAAUGUUUCCAUAUCCCUUCUCUAAUUAAUGGUGAAAAUGUAUGGAGCCCCCUAAGCUAUGGACCAUUUUGAAUAGGCCCCUCUGCUUUACUUUUUUGUCCUGUCGUUGUCGAAUUUAAUAGCUCUGUUAGUUCUUAGCUCUUAAUUGUUUCUGUUUCUUUUGACGAAAAUUAAUUAAUAUAUAAAUUUGAUUAAACCACUGAGAUAUUUAUUUUCAUUAAGAGGGCCUUUGGUUCGGCGUAAAAUAAAUCAAAAAAUUAUUUUCGACACGAAAAAUACUUUUUCGUUUGUUUGAUUUGAUGUAAAAGUAUUUUUACAGAUAUGAAAAAAUUAAAAUUUUUGUUUUUCAUUGUCUUUUUGACGAAAACCGAAAAUUCAAAACUAGCGAACCAAAUAAAUGUAUUUUUUUUUUUCAAUCAAAUAAAUGUUGAUGAAAAACUUUUUUUUUUUCCUACAAACUAAAUACUAUAAAACGUAGAACUUUUUUUUUCACUAAAAAUUCUUUUUUAUGAUUUUACGUUGAACCAAACGGAUCCUAAUUGAAGUCACUAAAUUCAGAAAACGUAAAAGCUGAGUAUCAAUUCUAAAGAAAAAAAAAAAAAUUUGAGGGACCAUUUCACAAACGACUGUAGUUGAGGGUGUCACCAUAAAUUUAUAUUUAAUUAUAUGUAAAAUGAUAUAACAAUGAUGGCUAAUUAUAUUUAGAGAAUAAUGCAAAGUUUAAGUAAAGAAACAUCUAAAUACUAUAUUAAAUAUUUUUAUAUUCUAUCACAUAAAGAAACAUUAAAAAAAUAAACUGAUAAAUUUAAUUCGCAUAUGAUAUUAUGUUAAUAUAUAUAUAUAUAUAUAUCAUAAAUGGCCAUAUUGUCAACUUUUAUAAGCUUGUUCGAAUUAAAAGAGAGUUAAAUAGUAAUUAAAUUAAUGAAAUAACAAUUUUACCCUCAACUAUCCAUUGUAAGGUAAAAAUAUUAAUACAAUUUAUUUUUUAUAUUAUUUUAUUUAAGAACUAGUUUGCAAUUUUAUAUCUUAUAGCAUAAUUUUAAAAAAAAAAAUUUCUUAUCAAGUGUGUGNAAAAAAAGAGUUCAUGCUUCCACAUGAACUUAAAUUUAGGGCUAAUGAGUAAUGACUCUAACCUCAUUUCAACCUAUAGUUAGAUACUUUUACAGGUCGUUUGGUUAGAUGUAGUUACAAAUUCAGUGUAGUUGGAGAUGUAUGCAGUUGGAAAUACAACAGUUGUAACUACGUGCAUCUUGUUUGGUUCGAUGUAGUAGGAAACGUUGCAACUAUAAAUAAUUUGUUUGGUUGAAUGUAGUUGAGAAAUAAUUUUUAAAAUUUUAUCACUUUAUAUAUAUGAUGGUGAAAUUACCUCCAACAUAACAAAAUUAUUUUUUGUUUAAAGAUAAUUAAGGAGGUAAGCAUACAUUUUGUUUAAAGUUGUGCUCUUCAACUGCUGCAAUUGGAAUUACGGCCAAUUUAAGCGUAGUUCGAACUGCUGCAGUUAGGCCUCCUUCUGCAGUUUCUAGUGCAACAGUUAAAGAUAAAUAUAUUAAACGAGAAAUGAUUCGGUACUUUAUUUUAUAAAAAAUAAAAAUGAUCUUAACCGUUGAUUAAUAGAGGGUAAAAAUGUNACUAAAAAUUCUUUUUUAUGAUUUUACGUUGAACCAAACGGAUCCUAAUUGAAGUCACUAAAUUCAGAAAACGUAAAAGCUGAGUAUCAAUUCUAAAGAAAAAAAAAAAAAUUUGAGGGACCAUUUCACAAACGACUGUAGUUGAGGGUGUCACCAUAAAUUUAUAUUUAAUUAUAUGUAAAAUGAUAUAACAAUGAUGGCUAAUUAUAUUUAGAGAAUAAUGCAAAGUUUAAGUAAAGAAACAUCUAAAUACUAUAUUAAAUAUUUUUAUAUUCUAUCACAUAAAGACACAUUAAAAAAAAAAUCUAAGUACUAUACUAAAUAGUUUUAUAUUCUAUCACAUAAAGAAACAUUAAAAAAAUAAACUGAUAAAUUUAAUUCGCAUAUGAUAUUAUGUUAAUAUAUAUAUAUAUAUAUAUCAUAAAUGGCCAUAUUGUCAACUUUUAUAAGCUUGUUCGAAUUAAAAGAGAGUUAAAUAGUAAUUAAAUUAAUGAAAUAACAAUUUUACCCUCAACUAUCCAUUGUAAGGUAAAAAUAUUAAUACAAUUUAUUUUUUAUAUUAUUUUAUUUAAGAACUAGUUUGCAAUUUUAUAUCUUAUAGCAUAAUUUUAAAAAAAAAAAUUUCUUAUCAAGUGUGUGAUCUAUUGUCUUUUAUCUGUUGAAUUUGUCUUUUUAAAAAAUUUGUUAAAACUAUGAAAGUUGCUUUUCUAAUUAUAAGUUUAUUAAAUUUUAAAAAUAAAAUUUUAGAGCUAAUUGAUCAUAUUUGCAUGAAUUUUAUUAGGGUCAUUUAAAUAUAUUUCUGACUUUUACGAGGACAUUGGUGAUAUUUUAAAAUUUAAAUAGCCAUUGAUUAUAUUACAGUUCGGUACGUAAAAGAGCAUUCAAAAAAUUAUUUAUUUAUAUUAAAUAUUUCAAUAAUAUGUGUCAAUGACAUGUACUUAAUUUUUCUAUUUGCUUGACUCGGUUCAAAUGCUGUAGUUGAAACGCGCUUGCUUUAUAUUGAUCGAAACAUUAAUUAAUCAAUUUAUUUAUUUAUUUAUUACGCAUUUUAUUUUGUUCUUAUUUCUCACCUGAUAUGUAUUUGUUUAUAAGGGAGUGUUUGGUUUCUCCAAAAAUAUUUUAGAAAAUAAUUUUUUGGAUGAAAAAAUUAUUUUUUUAUCAGUUUGAUUUCUUAAAAAAAUAUUUUUUUUGGAAAUUUUUGCUUUUAGAUUUCACGAAAAACUAGUAUUUUAGUUUUUUAAGUAUUUUAUUUAGAAAAUAAAAACUCUAGGAAAAAAAAAAUAUUAUUCAUAAUUUUUUUUCAAAAACACUCUUUUCCAAGAAGCCAUACACACCAUGAGCGCCUUCUUUGUUAUUGUGAUUCACCUAAGAUCAACAGAUAAAAUAGAAUUGGGACAAAAGUAUAAAAAUAUAUUUCUGUGUUUUUUUGGUGGAAUUGCAGAAACCAUUCAACUCAUUGCGAUAUGCGAAAUGCGAUAUUACAUACGAAAAUAAAUAGAAUAUUUUUUUAUCGUACUUUUUCACCGUAUAUAAUAUUAUCUCUCUGUAAUUCCAAAUGUAGUCUAAUACAAUUACUUUGAAUAUAUUUAUUUAUAUAUAUUUUUAAUGAAAAAAAAAUAUUAUUAUGUCCUUCAAAACGGCGCCCUUCUCAUUCAUGCCGCUUCACACAUACUUAGUUUAAUGUUGCCACAAAAAAAAAAGUUUUUUUUGUAGGUACAAAUACAUGAACACCCCUUAAUUUUAAUUACCUUCUCAUUUGGGACUUUUGAUUUAAAUUCACUUUUUGAUUUCUAAAGGGCAAAAUCGUCAUUUCACAUUUGGCUAACUUGGAGGGAGAAUCGCGGGGCGACCACGCACUUGUUCUCGCACGAGUAUCAACGCACCCUCACACGUGCGACCCAUUUACCCGUUGACCGACCUUGCCCCGUGCGAAAUGACUUAUUUACCCCCUACACGAGAGAAACUUAUCUGCACCGGGUCUACCCGUGUGCGUGCUCUGUUCAUACCAUAUUAAAAACCAACCUACAUUGAACCCUAUUAUUUUCCAAAUCACAUAGUUUCAAAAAUUACUGUAUUAUUAAAGGACUAUCAUUUAAUUUAUAAAAAAAAAUGAUUUCUAAAUAUAAUUUGUUCCAUGCAAAUACACCCGGUGCACGAAACGAUUUCUCUACGAACUCCACAUUAGGAAUUGCGAGGGCAAAUCCGGAAUUUGUGGGGUUUUUUUUUUUAAGGAAAAAAAAAAAAGGUUUCUUUCGAGGGUGUUGGUUUACGUUUCCAUCGACAUUUGGAAGGUACGCGUCGAGAACGGGGUGGGGCCCACGAACCUCGUAACCGUAACGGUAACGGAAACGGGAACGGAAAACGACGUGGCUCCGCCGUGAAAUAUCCUCCGUUGCAGGCGCCGUUACCGAGACGCCUCGUGCGUCCACUUCCCGGCUUUUGGACACCCCUCUAUUUCCACUCCUGUUUUUUAACUCAUAUCACGCACGCUAAACUACACUUUGGUCCUCCAACUAUGAAUUUCUGACACUUUCGUAUUCAAAAUUUGGGUUAAUUGCAUACAGGUCCCUAUAAAUAUAGUAAAUUACAAAUAGAUUCCUAUACAGUUCAACUUUUAUAUAUUGUUUAUGUAAAAGUCCUGAUAUUUUCAAAAAUGUUCCUGUCAUUUUGUUAAUUAUAGAUUAAAUACUUAACUCUAAUUUGUUAAUACGGUAAAUUGACCCUUUUAUCCCUCUUCAAUUAACAGUUGGAACUUUUGGAGGGAUUUUAGAGGGACAUAAUUGUGAUGGCAAAAAGGUCAUUUCACUUAUAAAAUUUACUACUCCUAACAAAGAGCGGUAAUGCCCCAUUGAUAGACAUUGCUUUAACGGUAACAAAUUAGAGUGAUAUAUUUGAAAACAUUAGGACUUUUAAAGAAACAAUAUAUGAAAGUUGAACUUUGUAAUGAUGUAUUUGUAAUUCACUAUAUUUGUAGGGAUCUGUAUGAAAUUAAUCCUUAAAAUUUAAUUUGCUGUAAUUACUUCAAACUCAGAAUUAUUAUAAUUAAGUACUACAAUUUAAUUUAGGUAAAUAUUAAUGCGCAACCAAUGUAAAAAUGAUAUAGUACUAUUGUGGUUGAUGAUACGAUAAUAAUUGAGAUGUCAUAUUAUUUUUACAUGAACAAUAUAUCACAAUUUAGUCAACUAAAACCUAAUUAUAAUAAUUCAAAAAAUUUUAAGUUAGAGAUUAUAAUAAAGUAAUUGUAAUAAUUCGAAUUUCCUCGAAUGUAUAAUUUUGACAUCUGUAGUCUAAUUUAUCCAAACAACUUUCACCUCGAAACACAACACACACCCACAAAAAUAAUAAAUAAAUAAAAUAGGGAAAACUUUAAACAUCACCUCCGUGGUUUUACAUUUUUUCACUUUAGUAUUCUGUAGUUUAAAAUGUAUCAAUUUAUUGCCCUGUGAUUUCACUUUAAUCUUUUUAUUGUCGAUUUCACUAAUUUUUUUCGUUAAAUCAGUGACGAAGUUAAAACAAAAGAGUGCUAAAGUGAAUAUUCGAUAAAUCUAGAUGGGAUAUCUGAAGUUUUUGGUGUAUAAUUUAACAAAAUAUUAACGAAAAAACUGACGAAAAUAUAAAAAUAAAACCACAUGACACAAAUUUGAUACACUUUAAAUCAUAGGGUACUAAAAUGAGAAUGUGAGAAACCAGGGGGUGGUAUUUGAAGUUUACCCAAUAAAAUAAGAACACGAGGUUGGAGAGCGCGGAUCUAAAAGCACUUCUCCCGCAUCCCGAGAAGCGCUUCUGCGAUUUUGACCACGUCCCUCCGCAUCCGAAGCAGCGGAUAAGCGGAGUCGUCCACGUAAAAGAAGCCCUCUCUCUCUCUCUCUCCUUUCUAGCCCCCGAGAAGCGCUUUUCGGCGACGUUCUCAACGCCACGGGGGGAAUAUUCAUGUCCCAUUUCCUCUGUUUCUGAUGCUCCUCCCAUAGUUGUUUUCAAGGCACCCAACCCUUUCUUUUGCUAUGCUCCGUCAAAGUUUGAAUUUUUAGGGAUUUUGCAUUAAUGGGAGUUCGUUCAUUUGGUGUUUGGAUUUAGUUGUUCACAACCAAUUUGAGGAUUUAGGUCCUUCUAUUCUCUUCUUUAGUUGUUAACUUGUGUUCUUUGCGUCAAAGUUUGGAUUUUUAGAGGUCUUGCAUUAAUGGGUGUUUGUUCAUUUGGUCUUUGGGUUUAGUUGUUCACAACCAAUUUGAGGAUUUGGGUCCUUCUAUUCUCUUCUUUAGUUGUUAACUUGUGUUCUUUGCGUCAAAGUUUGGACUUUUAGGGGUUUUUUGCAUUCAUGGGCGUUCGUUUGUUUAGUGUUUGGUUGUUCACAAACAAUUUGAGGCUUUGGGUCCUUCUAAUUCUCUUCUUUAGUUGUUAACUUGUGCUCUUUGCAUCAAAGUUUGGAUUUUUAGGGGUUUUGCAUUAAUGGGUGUUCAUUUAUUUGGUGUUUCGUUGUUCACAAACAAUUUGAGGUUUUGGGUCCUUCUAUUCUCUUCUUUAGUUGUUAACUUGUGUUUUUUGUGUCAAAGUUUGGAUUUUUAGGGGUUUUGCAUUAAUGGGUGUUUGUUGAUUUGGUGUUUGGGUUUAGUUGUUCACAACCAAUUUGAGGUGUUUGUUGAUUUGAUUUGGUGUGCACAUCCAUUCUCUUUUUAGUUGUUAACAUGCUUUCCAAAUUUACUCUGUUUUGGGUUUCAUUUUUAUGGUGUUGUGUCAUAGUUUGGAUUUUUAGGGGGUUCUGGGUUAAUGGAUUUUGUUGCUGUGCUGUUUGGGUUUAGUUGUUCACAACCAAUUUGAUGUUUUGGGUCCUUCUAUACUCUUUUUUAGUUUUUAGUUAUCAAAUUUUGGUUUUUUGGAGUGUUUUGGAGAGCUUUUAUGUGAUUUUUAGUUGUUAACUUGUUAUACUUGGGUUGUUAAAUUAGUUUUAACAGUUUAUUUGGUAAUUAUUGUUGUAUAAUUGUAUCUUUAGGACUAAUUGAAUAAAUUUGUGUUUUUUUUUCAAAAAAAAAGUUUACUAAUGUUAUUUGUGACACUCAAUUGUUCUAUCUCUUGUCCAAUGCAGAGUUUGAAUUUGUUUCAACUCUCAGAAAUUGAAUCAUAUGUUCUUAAUCUAUGAUUCGUAGUUACUGGUGCUCAAGUUGGUUGAGAUUUUGCAGAAAUGGCUCUACCAAAUGGCGCGAGAAAAAAGGUAAAUUUUUUGAGCUUUUUGUAAUUUUCAUACCCUUUUUCUAAGAUUCAAGGUGACAUUUUAGAAAAAUUUCAAAAAAAAAGAAAAGAAAAAUGAUUGAGUCCUUAUGGUUGGUUUCUGCAGUUCCUUUUCCCGAAUCUGUUUGGGAGUAAAGAGAAAAAAUCAUCAAAUAUAAUUGAGGGAUCAAUUAGCUCAUCUAGUAAGUUAUUAUUUGCUUUAUUUCUACACCUCUUUUUAAUACUCUUUUUGUUCAAUUAGUCAUAUUUUAAUCUAAGAUGCUUAAAAGAAUUUUCUAGUAUUUGAACUUUUUUAAUUUUUACUGUUCGAUCCUCCAAAAAUGAAUGGCGAUCUCACGGUUCGGUUAAAAAGGAGAACGAAAAGAGUUGCGCUAAGCUCUACGAUGUGAAAUUAUGCAUGUUUGCCACUAUUAUUUAUCCGUACUUUUCGGCAAAAGUAGAAAAUGACAUUCUUCUUUGGAGGGAACAACGCAUUCGGUGAAAAUGAUGGCCAUGGAAGCUUUUCCUAAUUAUCUAUACUUUGCUAAUAAAGCAGGAAUAUGUCACUAAUAGAUGAUAACCGACGAGAGAACUCUAUUCUUGAUGUUAGAUGCAAUAGAACAGUAUAUUCUAAUGUUCUUUGAAGAUUAUGUGUGAUUUUUAAUGGAGAUAUAUUACUUUUCGCCUUUCCCUUUUCCUAGUUGUACGUAAUUUACUAUGGACAUUUUGCUUUCUAACUUUUUCUUAUAGAUUAUGAACUCGACCUGUGUAUAACCGAAGUUUUCUUUUUCUUUUUUUCGGGGGGGGUGAUGAAUUUUGUGUAUGCAUUUCAAUUUUAAGAAAAAAAAAAGAUAGAAAUUUAUGGUUAUACUGUUUCCGACUUUGUAAUUGCAGCUGAUUUCGGAGGAAGUCCGGUUAACUCACCAAGAACAUCCUCUUCCUUUUUCAAAAGCUUUUCCGGUAAAUUCCUUUUGAUCUUUUCUUCUUUCUUGUUUCGAACUGUUUUAAUUUGAUUAAUCAUCUCAAAAGCGUCGUUAUAAGUCCCUUAAUUUGUUUUGCCUUCUUUAAUUUUCUUGGUUUUUUGAACUUAUCGAAGGAGAGAGCAAGAGCCUAAGUUUCAGCGACAUCUCUUCCUCAGGAUCAAAUGCUGUUAAAACUGAGGCCUUCAGGUUCGAGUUCGAUAUCCUUCUACAAUUCCAAUUUUUCUCUACUUUUUCCUUUCCUUUAUUUUUACUGAUUUCGCAGUCUCGUUUCAAUUAUUCUCUUUCUCCAGGAUAUUUGUCGCGACAUGGAACGUAGGCGGGAAACCUCCGUAUGUUGGUUUGAACCUCAAUGACUUUCUCCCUGCCGAUGAUCACUCCGAUAUUUAUGUUCUAGGGUAUGUAUAAAAGUUUAAAACUUUAAGCUAUUAAUCCGAUAAAGCAUUAUUUCGAUAUCUUCGUGACUUUAUAACUUGAUGGUUAUCACUUUACCAUUCUUUGUCACCAAUUGAUUUAUAGAGAUAUGUAUUGUAGCUUAUGCAGUUUAUAGUUUGUUUUUUUUAUCUUAUUCUCUGCUGUGCAUUUCUUCAGUUUUCAGGAAAUAGUCCCUCUAAAUGCCGGAAAUGUGCUCGUCGAAGACAACGAGCCGGCGACAAGAUGGCUUACUUUGAUAAACCAAGCCCUCAACAGACCGGUCGACGUCGACUCUGACAGCUUCUCUUACAGUCCAUCCCCCUCCGCCACUUCUGCUUCUCCGCAAUCUGCCACACUCAACACUCCAAUGCCGAAAUUCUCGGAGAAUUUGAGCACCGGUUCUUUCGUCUUCCAAAAAUCUUCACUAAAAGCGGCGAGCGAAACGUUCAGAACACCUCAGCGACGGCAACUGACGAGGUGCAAUUGCCCAGCGGAGGUGAACGAGAAGUCGUAUAGGAGCUCAUGCUUCACAUGCCAACGGGCUCGUUACGUCAGCGAGACCGAUUCGUCGGAGGAAGAGGAGGACGAAGAGGAGGUGGUGUCGAGCAGCUUUACAAUGAAUGAUUUGGCUAAUGCGGCGGUUUCUGCAACGAGUAACCAAUUAAAGUAUAAUCUCAUCGCGAGCAAACAAAUGGUGGGGAUCUUUGUUACCGUGUGGGCGAGGAAAGAUCUGGUCCAACAUGUAGGCCAUCUUCGGCUCUCUAGUGUCGGCCGCGGUGUCAUGGGUUAUCUCGGUAACAAGGUGUGUUUUUUUGAGUCAUUCUAUAUAUUUACAUGCACAAAAUUGUAACUUGUAUACGCUUUUCAGAAGAUAACCUACGGAAAUUUUAGAUGUUAAAACAAUUCUUCUAAGAUUUGUGUAAAACCAUCUGUUUUAGACAUUUCAUUUAUUUGAAGAGUAUAAAAAAAAUUGAUCUUCUAGGGAUGCAUAUCGGUGAGCAUGUCCUUGCAUCAGACGAGCCUCUGCUUCGUUUGUAGCCAUUUGGCGUCUGGCGAGAAAGAAGGCGACGAGUUGAGGAGGAAUUUGGAUGUUAUAGAGAUCUUGAAGAACACUCAAUUUCAAAGGGUUUGCAGAAGAGGCGGACGGAGAGUUCCGGAUAAAAUUCUCGAGCACGAGUGAGAAUCUUAACUGUGACUAAUUGUAUUACAUUACUCUCUAUCUCUUGCUACAUAACUAACCUUCUUUUAUAAAUAUAUGUAUAUAUAUAUGGUUUAGUCGGGUUAUAUGGUUAGGGGAUUUAAAUUACCGGAUUUCGUUGAGCUACUCGGAGACGAGGAAGCUACUCGAGGAGAAUAAUUGGGAUGCUCUCUUUGAGAAGGAUCAGGUAAUUGGGAUGCUUUCGAUCACUUAUCUUCAUUAGUUUUACUUUUCAAGGUUAAAAUUUAUUGUUUUGCGACAUUAAUCGCCUUCUACGUAUUACUAUAAUUACACGCCGCACGCGAAUGUUUUGCUUUGAUAGCUUAAGAUGGAAAGAGAAGCGGGCCGGGUGUUUAAGGGAUGGAAUGAGGGGAAGAUCUUCUUUGCUCCGACCUACAAGUAUUCGUCGAACUCGGAUUCUUAUGCCGGAGAGACCGUGACAUCCAAGAAGAAGAGGAGAACGCCAGCGUGGUAAGUGCCAUCCACAAUGCUAUGUUUAGUAAUCUCGGUUCAUUAUUUUGUUUUUGUUUUUCCUCCUUCGAUAAUGCAAUUACGAGCCUUUAAUGAAUUCGACCGUUCUUGUUUUCAGGUGCGAUCGAAUUCUAUGGCACGGUGACGGAAUCAUGCAAUUGUCUUACAUACGAGGGGAGUCGAAAUUCUCCGAUCAUCGUCCAGUGUGCGCGGCUUUCAUAAUCGAGGUCGGAGUGCUCGACAGCCAACUGAAGAAUGGUUUAUUAACCCCCAAUAUGAAAGUCGGCGCAGAAGAGCUUCUGCCUCCAAGCAGUAGCUGCCCCUAGUAGUUACAGUAAAUCAAAUGCCUACCCUAAAAUAUUAAUUGUCGAUCGCACUCCUACAUUAAUCAAAGCAACGAGUUUCGCGCACUGAUCCACUUUUGUGAUCAAUAGAUUAACUCGUCGUGAAGUUCAUUUUGUCGUGCAGUAAAAGAAACACACGAGAUCGGUAGAGACUGAAUUUCUUGCUGUACAUAUAUUCACGAUGACAAUAUAAUCGGUAAGUAAACUUGGUUUUAUUAAUUUCUGAUUUAUUUUCAUGUUGUCUAUAAUAUGAGUAAUAGUAACUUUUUGUUUAUUUUAUGUCUUCAGGUUUGCUUUCAUCUGCAUUGGUUCCAAAGGGACUCAUGAUGCCGAAGUGCCGUUUCGUUUAUUCUAUUUUUUUUUUCGUUCGAUUUUUCGUUUUGUUUAUAUGUUUGAAAGAUACAGGAGAGAUAAAUGAGGUGAAUAGCAUGUAAAAUGGUUAUCUGAAUAGCCACUGAAAUGUACAAAAAUGUGAUGUGUAAAGUAAACAGCAUUUAUCUGUUUUUUUUUUUUCCUUUUUCAGAAUAGGACAAUUUUCUUUUUUACUCUAUUUUUUCUCCUGAGAAUAGUUUCAGAAACAGUGUCUUAUCUUAGUUCUCAGAUAUGAUUCAUUUGUAAAUGACUCUUUCUUUUCUCUUAUAUGGAACAAGUGGUAAAUUGUCGGUAUGUUCAAGUAUUGUGUUCUCGGAGUUAAAAUUCCGAGUUUUAUUUGGUUGGAAUCUAAUCCUAACCAUGAGAUUUGGUCACACUAUGCUCUUAAUUCGGGCUCAAAACUCGACUUAUAUUGUUUCAAAAAAUGUGUGUCGCUUAUUCGUCAUCAAUUGUGAAUUCGCAGGAAUCACAUUGUUCAGGACUGAUGAUUUCACCUGAAAAUGCAAUGCAGAGGAUCCAAACUCUCAAUUAUGUUCUAAUUUUCAGAAUUUAGCUGAUUUACAACUGCUCAAUUUGUAAAUUUGGUAUUAAUUUGUGCGAAUUUUCAAUCGAUGCCACACGCAGAUGCUUGCAGAUAAAUUCGAUCCAGUUCGUCGCAAGACGACAAAUAAAAGCAGGAGUGAUUGAUCUGCAGACACUUUCGGAACUUCGAAUCCUCCAUUCAGAAUUUUGUGAUGUUCCAUUCUGAAGAGCAUGAGCAAUAGUCAUCAUACAUAUGCAGGAGAGUUUUCUUGGAUUGAAUUUUAUAUUUUCUUUUUUUGUAUUCUUUUUUUGUUGUAAUUUUUGUUUGUUUUUUGAUGAUUGAGUAUUCAUGUUAAACUAUUGAAUGGAAUCUGAGUUUCUUCACCCUCUGUUACCUAUAUUUCCUCUAUAAAUUGUUUGAUUUUGAUGAUUCAACAACAACAAAAUGCCAAUCACUUUUUUCCCUUAUCUAUAUACCUUAGUCCUUUUUAUGCAUUUUUUUUGGUCAAGGUGAAUCAUAAUACUUUUGAUAAAUUCAAUCAAAGUUCUGAGACAAGUUAUAAAUAGAUAGUGUUCUAAUUUCAGAGAGAGAGAAAGAGAGAGAGAGAGAGUUGUUGUAGACUUAAAUCUUUCAUUAGUGAGAGCACCAUCACAGCAUACAAUUUUUUUUUUUUUGGUGACAUUAUAUAUGAUUCCACAAUAUCUUACCACCUAAGCUAAAAUAGUUUAACAUAUAAUUAUAUUCGACCGAUUCAACCGUUUUGACGGUGACCCAGCUAAUAAAACGGUUCAAUUCAAACCUUUGAACCGGAUAAGCUAAAAAUUCAAUUUAAACCAUUCAAACCGGAGUGAACAGGUGAGCCAGUCCGAUUUUGAAUAAAUUUGUUUGUUAAUGUAAUUUAUAAUAUUACUUACAAUUAAUUUUUUUACUAAAAAAGUAAAAUAAAAAAAUAAUUAAAUAUUUAUGACUUCUUAUUGAUGUUACUGGUUCAAUCAGUGGUUGAAUCACUGAUUAAAAUAGCGACCCUUGACCGAGUAAUACUCGGGUCACUUUUCGACCCGAUUUUUAAAAAAUUACUUUUUAUGCCUUAACCACCCUCUAUAUUUUGCAUCAAAAUUUCAGUUUACCACUAUCUCAAAUAGGUCUAGCAAUUUAGAACAUUGUUGAAUUUGGAUUAAAGGGAAAAACCAAAAAACAGGUUAUAAUUGGUUACAGUGAAAGUACAUGUUUCCAUUACAUUUAACACCUGAUGCAAUUAAUUUUUCUAAAUUAACUUAAACAAUCAUAAGUUGUAUUAAAAUCUCAAAUUUUGCUAAGAAAAUCAGGAAACAGGGUUUAUUGGAAAGAAUUUGAAUUUUUAGAAGGCUAUCCUUGUGAAUAAAAGGAUUUAUAUGUGAGAAUAAAAGGAUAUCUUGGAAAAAAUUUAGAUUUUUUUUUUUUUAACUAUUUAUUGGAAAGUUGGAAAUUUUGUAGGAGUAUAUAGGCAAUUACUCCUAAAUUUUGAAGUGCAAUUAAUGUGCUGUAACUCUUAUAACUUUUUGGGGGAUGCAAAUGGGUUGGGCUGGCCAAUCGGGUCUCCGGCCCGACCCGGAAAGCAAAUAGUAUUGGGUUCAGUUAUUUUAGGUUGGGAUUGGGUCAAUCACACUCAACCCAAAUUGGAGGGGUGAAGUGUAGGGCUAGCAAUCCAGCUCUCCGUUCAUGAGCCAACUCGUAUUCGGCUCGAAAUGAGCUUGAAAUUAGUCGCUCGUUUAAUAGAGCCACAAAUGAGCCAAAUUUUUCAGCUCGAAAUCUUAACGAGCAGAACACAAGUGGGCUAACUCGAAAUGAGCUAAACGAGCCAGAUACGAACAAGCCAAAUUUUCAGCUCAAAAUCUUAACAAGACAAGCACCAGCUAGCGUCAGCUCGCUCUUGUUCGACUUGAUAUAGCCCGAAUUGUGUGUUCAAGAAAAUCCCACAACCCAAUUUAGUUGACUAAAUAUUAACGUGCAGCUGAUACGAAAGCGAUGUAGCAGUAUUGUAAUUGAUAACACGAUAAUAAUUAAGACGCCACGUCACUUUUACGUCAGCGACAUAUUAAUAUAUUUCGUUAACUAAAAUUGGGUUGUGGGUCUUAAUUAUAAUAAUUCAAAAAGUUCAAGUUAAAAAUUACAAUAAACUAAAUUUUGGGCACCUAAGUGUCACACACCUCAUGGUUCGAGGACCAAAAGUGUAAUGUACCCUAUCAUAAUAUAAUAUUAUAAAGCUUUAAAACACAAAAAAUAAUUAAUGCACUUUAUUCUAACACAUAAAAGAACCAAUAAAAUUUGAAUGUAAACUCACUUUAUUCUUCAAUCUUGGUGCUCAAUCAUCAUAACUAUAAAGGAAAAAUAGCUUCUAUUUUUGUAGUUUGAAUUUACAACAAAUAUGUACAAGACACGCGAUCGAAACGACUGUUCAAUUAGUAACUUCGCUAAAAAAGAAAAACCUACUAAACUAUUUGGUAAAUUUUUAGAAAGUCCAAUCGAGAACAUAAAAAGUUCAAACGCAUCUGCUACCACAAGCACUAAAGGUUUAAAAAAGAUUAUAUAUAUUUUUAAAAAAAUUAAAUAUAAAAUAAAAAGUUCAUGUAUUCCAAAUUGCAGUGUCUUGCUGUUGUGGAAUCUGGGCUCUAAGUGGAAUCCUUUCUACAAAGUAUCAAGUAUGGGCAGGUUAAUUACUGGGGUGGGAUACAGUUAAAUCUCACCUAACAUAAUAAUGGGGGGGGGUGAGCCCCACUAAUCAACAAUUAUAAAAUAAUUGAUGAUUUUUAUUGCAGAUCCAUGAUCAUGAUGAUGAUGAUGGUGCUUGAAGUCACCUGUCCUUCAAAAUAUUUAAUGGUGGGACCCACCUGACAUCAAAUAGAAUAGGCCACCAAUAAUUGGGAGAGAGACAGGUGGAAUUCCUUCCGAGUCCACUUUCACAUUUGAUAAUAAUAAUAAUAAUAAUAAUAACAACAAGUUAAGUAACCUGUGUUCCGCUACGAAUUCAUUUAUUUUCUUUAUAAAUAAUUAAUAAAUAAUUAAAUAUAUUUUUUUAUAAAGUAAAUAAUAAUAUAUUUUAAUUAAUUAAAUAAGAAAGUUUUAGAUAUAUUUCCACAUGCGAUUAAUUGUAUCAGAUAUGUAAAUUUUGAUUACAAACAAUAAUACUAAUCUUAACACUCGUUCGGUUUCAGAUUAUAAAUUCAUAAGUUUGUAUUUUAAUUAUAAUAAAACUUUAAAAUAGAUAAUUAUUUAUGCCUAAUUUUAAAUAUUUUAGAUUGUAUGUAUUAAUAUUAAUUUUAAUUUAUAAUUAUUUAGAUAUAAAUAAUCCAUUUUUAUAAAAAACACUACAAUUAAGUUUUUUAAAAUAUAUUUAAUUACAAUAAUUACAUAAAAUAUACUAACUAAUAUAUAAAGCUAAGCAACAAUUCAAAAAUCAUUAAUAUAUAUAUACUUUUAAAUUUUAAUUUAAAUUUAAAUUUAUUUUUUGUAUGUGGCCAAUAACACUCUAAAAUAAGAAGGAUUAGAAAAGAAAAAAAUCAAAAAAAAGAGAGAGAUGGGAGUGGGUCUAAAAUAAAUAAACCAGCUUAAUAAUAAAAAGCUCAUUGUAAUAUUAAAAAAAUAUAUAAUAUUUUUUAUUUAUUUCUGUGUAGAACUUACAAAUAAAAAAAUUAAAAAAAUUAAUUAAAGUAAAAAUACUAUCUUUGUUGAUUCUCAAAUAAAUUAUUAUAUAUUUAUAAUAAAAUAUUAAAAUUUUAUAUAUAUAUAUAUAUUUAUAUAUAUACACGUGUAUUCAAAUUUGGGUUGUCGACAGACCCAUUUUCAGCGGAAAAAUUAGCCGUCCAUUUUUUUCUUUCCGUACGAAAAAUUUUUAAUAUAAGAAUAAAAAUAGAAAUAAAAAACAGUAAUGAAUACGUAAGUUCUCUAUAACAGAUUAGAGAUGUGAAAUCUUAAAAUAUAAAUUUUUAUUUAAUUUCAAAAGUAAGUUUUUUAUAACAGAUUACGGUGGUGCGAAAAUCCUAUAAAAAAUAUUUUUCUAUUUUAUUUUAAAAUAUCUUUUUUAGAUAUUAUCUAUUUAAUUUCAAAAUAUAUUUUCUUUUUAAGAUAACAGAUUUUAUUUUUCAUUUAAUUUCAAAAUUUAUUUCCUAACAGAUUUUAUUUUUCUAUUUAAUUUCAAAAGUAAUAUUUUGCAUUAGAGUUAUGUUAAUUAUUUAUCAUUUAAAGCAUAUCUUUCUUAAUAGCGUGAUUUAUUAUUUUAAAUUUUUUAGAUACAUAUUUGGUAAUCAUAUAAAAUAUGGCCUAAAAUUAAAAAAUAAUUUAAAAAAAUAUAGUUUUUUCUAAUAAUUAUUACGUAUAUUUGCACGUACAUUUUACUAGUAUAUAUAUAUAUAUAUAAUCUCAAAGAGAGAGAGAGAGGGGUCCACUGCUCUCUCUCCCUCAGGUGGUCCACGAGGUGAUGCUCACCUCAUGGACCGCGUGCAAAAAGGGAAAGUGAGCCUUGCCUUUUUGCACUGUAGUUUUUUAUUGGGCUUGCGUGCUAUGUUAGAGACUCGAACCAGUCCAAAAACUUAGAUUGAUAGCUACUAUUCUUUACAGGGAACCCUCAGAUCAGAUAUUUAGCUUCGCUGUAUGUUACUUUUUAUUGGGCUUGUAACGGAAGCGUGGAAAUUCUAUCUCAAGAGAAAUACACUUUUGGAUACUCUAAAAUGUUGCCCCUAAGAAUUGAUAAGGUGUUAGCAAUUUCAUGCAACACUUUGAAAUAUAAAUCUUUCGAAGCCCUUCGCAUCAUAGUUGUCAACGCACUAACAAUAUAUGACAACCGCGUGACGGCAUGAGAGACCAGUAGCAAUACUCUUAUUUUAAAUUAUUUUUUAAAUAAUUCGAUAGUUGAUCUAGAGGUCCAUGUUAAUGAUCGAAAGAACCAUUAGUUGAACCGACACGAAGUGACAUUCAUUGUUUGUCACUUUUUAAUGCGUCCAAAGUGCACUUAAACAAUAUCAAUUGAGGCAAACAAUAAGAACAAAAGGCUAAAUCAACAUUUAACUGCAAGAUAAAAUUUACACGUAACAAAAUUAAACCAACUAAUUGGCAAAGAGGCUAGUACCAUACUAGAAAAGAAUUAUCCAUUUACUUGUACUCUUUGUUAAUUUAUUUGUCCUAUCUAGCAAGUAUCUGCUUUUACUUUCGCCUGUAGUCAUAUCUAAUAGUUUGUUUAGUAAUUACUAAUGAAAAUGAAUAAAUAAUUCUACUCCUAACUCAUUGGAAAGAAAAAAAAUAUUACGAGACCUAAUUUGGCAUUCUUAUUUUAUUACAUGUGAAGUCACACAGAAAAUUUUACUAUAAUACAUGCUUCUGUUAAUAGCAUUACUAGCUCAAAACACUGCACUAAUUUGAUUUCUUUUUCAAGAUUACUGAAAAUGGUGUCUAGAAUCUCAUUUAUUAGCUACAGCUAUAUAUCCACCCCUUUUUUCUUUUUUUUUUCUUUUUUUUUUUUUGUGGUUUUCUCUCCCUCUUUCCACCUGUAGCUGUUGUUGUCUAUUUUGUUGGUCCAAGCAAAUAAUCUUUUUUUUGUACUUUUCUUUCAUUACUGACACAUUUUGUUGCCCACUUGUUCCACACCAAUAAGAUGCACCAGAAUCUAGGGCAUAAAUGAAUAGCUUAAAAACUACUCAUACUGUUAUAGUUGUCCAAACUACUGUACACUUUUACAUAAUCUAAUUAGCUAGCCUGAGACAUUAACUAGUGCUACAUGUAUUACUCAACUUAUAUACUUAUUAUAUUUUCAAGAGUUCAACAUUAAAAUCGACCGUCCCUAGAGCAAGUGGCAAAGGGUUUGGUGGUUGGUACCCAAGACUCAAGUUCGAAUUCUAGUUGAUUCAUAUUUCCAGCUAAGUUUUUUUCUAAAUGAAAUAAAACGAAACGGAUAGCAUGCUUUAAAAAAAAAAAAAGAAAAAGAGUACAACAUUAAAGAUGUGAGUGAGAAGAGAUUUAUCCAAUGAUUCAUUCUGGGUUUAGGUAGAAAGAGCAAUGAUAUAUACUACCACCAUUGUCGGACAUAGUUUUCUUUUUUCGUUCUUUUUGAACGCAUAUUAUUCGUUUUAUUCAUUUUCCAUCGGUGCUUUUCUUUAUUUAAAGAUUGACAAUUGGAUUGAACGUAUGGAAUGGAUGAAUUACCAUUAAUGGAUUCAUAGUUAUAUAUAUUGCGUACCGAUGCAUGCACCAGAUGCAUACAGAUAAUAAUUUUUUUUAUCGAAAAUUCAUUUUGAAUGCCCAACAUCCAACUGAGUUAAAAGUUUGCGAACCAAAUAAAAACUCAACUUAAAAUUUAUAGAGUAGCGUAAUUUAUCGUGAAAACAUCAGGACUAACUUCUAUUUAAAAAGGUACAUAAAAGGGGCUACAUAAUCACAAUCUUAAUACAUUUUUACAUGAAUAUUUACAAUGUGACAAAUCCAAGUUUCUACUCUCGUUGAUGCAAUGAAGAGUUUCUCUUUGUAAGAUCGUAUCGCAUAUGUCGCUCUCGGCAUUCGGCGCUACAAAAAGCACUCUCACCUCUGCAACCACAAAAAUCAAGUAUACAUCUAUUACUUUUUAUUUGUCUAAAAAAAACUAUUUUUUGCAGGUAAUUAAAAGAGGGGGAAAAGCAUAUGUUUUGUGAUCUGCAAUAUAUUUUUUUCGCUUUUCUUAUUUGAUUAUUUAAAAUAACAGAUAGAAGAACUAUGUGAUAAAAUGUUGUUUCUUUGUUCAAAAAACAUGGAGUUUUUUAGUGAUAGAACUAGUGCAAAUUAAGUGAAAUAGUCAUGUUUCUGACUUAAAUUAAUGUGCAAUUCUACUCUUAAAUGAAGUUAAUUUUCUUGAAUAUUCAAAAAUAAAAAAAGAAUUUUGUUGAGUUACACAAGAUAUAUAUAUUUGCUCAAAAAGAAAAGGAAAGCUAAAAAUCAUGAGAAAGAAUUUAACUAGCAAUAGUGUAGCUACAUUUGAGCAAUUAUUUCAUAUACUCAUGGUAUUAUACAUAGCCUACCAAAGUUGGAAUUAAAUUGAUUAAAAUCAUAUAUGAAAUGAUGAGCGAGCAAGUUAAAUGCACCUGUAAAUGUAGAUAUCGCGUUCUAAUCCGAGGGGGCGCCCACACGCUCCGCAAGAGUGCAGGAAAUCGAGCGGUUGCGAAAGCUCUCCAACCUUCUCACCAUCUUCUUUUAUGGACUUCGAUUCGAUACAAGUCGAGGCAUCACUGCUUAUCUUUGCCCUUCUACUUUCAUCAUGAUUCUCAGUUUGAACCUCGUGCGUGAUCUCUCCUUUGCUCGUCGUUCUCGUCAUCGCUCGCGGACGUUUUCGAUGAGAGGACUCCGACAUGCUCGACCGAUCGAUUAGAGACGCAGAAAUCUAAGCUCAAAGCCUCUCAACAUUGAAGACUCUCUCAAGUGUAAGCUUAUGUGAUCUUAUAUACCAUUUUCUUAGGUAGUGAGAGUGCAUGAAUGAGAGAAAGUUAUUGGUGUGCUUUAAUGAUGCUAUAUAUGUUUAUAUACCUUUUACCUUUUUCCAUAUCAAGGGAAUUAAAAGAGUGUUGGGAAGGUCCAUGUUCCAUCCUAGGGUUGAUGAAUGUGAUGUAAUUUGUAGCUUACAAAACAAGCAUGAAGGUGUAAAAGUAGUAUAUAUAUAAUUUUGUCAUUAUUAAUUUAAUCAGUACAUUUUUUGCGUUAUCGCCUAUAUAUCACUAACCCUUGUGACAUUUUUGUAUGUUGUAUCUUAAGGUACAAGCUACGAAUGACGUCGCAUUACGGAUUCGAAACGAAUUAAAGAAGCGUACAAGUUAGUUUGAUUCGACGACCAAGCGAUGUGGAAUUGUUUUAGGGCAAUUGUUUUCAUGAGAAGAAAUAUUUGUACAAGUUCUUGGAUUAAUUUGUGGUUGAGCACUCAUUAGCAAGACCAAGAAUAUUUGUUUUAAUAAACCCUUCCUAUUUUUGAUGAAUUAUAUAUAUUGCAAAGUCAACUAAGAAUAGAAUCAUAUUGUUGACACAAUCUUUUUCGUAGGAAGAUUAUUUUGAUUCAAAUCAAUUUAAAUACUCUUUAAUAUUUGAUAAAUCUUUUUCAUUGGAAGCUUCUUUUGAUUCAAAUCAUUUUAAAUACUCAAGGUUUGACACAAUUAAAACUUGUGCCUUUUAAUUAUUGGUAACACUUCCAUUACUAAGGAAAGGAACAUAAUUAGCUUUCUCCUUUUUAGGUAAAGAUCGAUAGCUAGGGAUUUUGUGAUAAAUAAUUGGUUUCUUAAUGACAUGGAAUAAUAAAAAAUAAAGUUAUUUUACUCUCAAUAAUAGUACUAGACACUGUUAAUUAGUUGUCCUAUGUUGUUAAUUAGUAAAUUUGUGACCAUGGUUUUUGCAUCUCCAGACCUAUCAACACUCAAUAACAAAACACCUGAAGAUUAAUUGUUCUUGAAUUGGUUGGAGAAUACCAUGCAUAUUUAAAUUAAUCAAGCAUAACAUCUUGUUACGACAAACGCACAAACGGAAACGAAACGACGAACACAAAAAACAAUCAAACCACAAGCAGAAAAAUAAAGAGACACAGAUUUACGUGAAAAACCCUUUGCAGGGAAAAACCACGGGCGAGGGACGAGAGAUCUUCACUAUGGAACGAAAAGGGAAUACAAAGUUCUUUAGGUUACAACCAACCACGAUCACACGCCUCUAGGGCAUAAACGAUAAACGAAAAGAAAAACUCAUAACGGGUUUCAGNCCGAGCCCUCCGCUACCCACCACAGACAUUCAUUUUUCCUUUAUAAUUUUUUUUUCCAAAUUGGUCGUACCGCGAAGCUGUCGGCAAGUCGUAAACCCGAACCUGAAUCGAUAGUAGAUUUCGAGUCACAUCUAACACAUCUGAGUUCAAGAGAAAUUUACUUUUUUCCCCCCUAAAUAAAGCUAAUUCAGGAGAAAUCAUUGUAUAGACCUAAUCCAUGAUGUUUUCCACGAACAUAAAAUAUGAAUGUUAACCAACAAACAUAUGAUCUACAACCUCUAAAGGAUUGUUUGGUUGCAUACAGUUGCAAUUGUACUUCAAUUAUAACUACAUAUAAAUCCAAGCAGUAUUGUAGUUAUCACUAUAUGCAUAUCCAAAUUGGUAUCUAGUUUGCAUUUGAAUCCGACUACUAUAGUUGGAAUUGCAGGAGGAGACCCAACUAUUACAGUUGGAGUAACUUUAAACAAAAAAUGAAAGGUAAACUUCUAAUACCAUCCCUUGUGGUUUCGUACUUUUUUAUUUUAGUACCCUGUGGUUUAAAGUGUAUCAAGUUAGUGUCCUAUAGUUUCACUUUUAUCUUUUCGUCAGCUUUUCUGUUAAUAUUUUUUUAAAUUAUAUACAAAAAACUUCAGAUACCCCACCUAGAUUUAUCGAAUAUUCACUUUAGUACCUUUUAGUUUUAACUUUGUCACUGAUUUAACGAAAAAAAUUAGUGAAAUCGAUAAUAAAAAAAUAAAAAUAGAAUCAUAGGACACUAAAUUGAUGCACUUUAAACCACAGGGUACUAAAGUGAGAAAGUGUAAAACCACAGGGGUGGUAUUUGAAAGUUUUCCCAAAAACAAACUUAACUUCCUAAUCAUUAUUUAAAUAGAAUUUUUUUUUCCCUUCUACGUCGGAAGUCCUCUCAACUAUAUAUAUGCAACCAAACAAAAUAUUAAUAGUUGCAUUACCCUUAUACGACAUCCAAUUAAACAGGAUGCUUAUAGUUAUAAAUACGUCUCCAAUUAUACUGAAGUAUCAAUAUACAGAAAAUCAUUAUUUUUGAAAAAAAAAAAUCUUAUUAUCUAAACAUCCAGUAGCCAAAAAAAACAGUGGCGCUUAAAUAACUAUCCUUAUUACAUGAGACUAAUUAUUAGAAUAAUUUUCAAUAUAUAAAUAAUUUAGGUGUUGUAAAUUAUAUAUAUAUACUAGCUUACAAUUUACUUUGAGGCCUCAAAUAAUUGAGUACCAGGUUUGGUAUGAAGAGUACAAGCUACUACAAAUCCCCAAAAUGCUGCCUUAUGGUAUUCUCCUCUUGUUCUUUUUUUCUUUUCUUUUACUUUUCUCUUUUUCUUUUGAAAAAGAGAUAUCAUGACCUUUGUGUAACAUUAUUAUCAUAUAUAUAUAUCUAAUUUUAGAAGUAUGGUUCCAAUUGAACCAUAAGAUGCCACGUGGCGCACUUACAUGAAAAGUUCUAAUCUGCCACGUGGCGCACUUAUCAUAAUAUAUAUAUUUUUAACUUAUCAUAAUAUAUUUUUUACUUCACAUAUAUAUAUAUAUAUAUAUUAUCAUUAUAUAUAUUUUAUAUAUUAUCAUUAUCAUUAAGUAAUUAUAAGAGAGCAUAACUACACGUACCAAAAAAUAACUGCACAGCAAUUUUUUUUCCUUAACCGUACAACAGUUAUUUUUUUUCCUAAACUGCACAACAGUUAUUUUUUUUUCUUAACCGCACAACAGUUAUUUUUUUUCCUAAACCACACAACAGUUUUUUUUUUUUUCUUAACCACACAACAGUUAUUUUUUUUUUCCCUUUUUUUCUUUGAUUGUGAGGCAUAUUUAUCUUUCACAGUUAAUAUCUAAAACGUUACAAAUUUUAUCAUCCAUAUGUAUGUAUUACAAGUGAAUGCCAUUAUUUUAUUAAUGUUAUCAUCCAUAUGUAUGAUAGAUGGAGGCAGACUUAUUUUCCACCUUUAUGCACCAUCUUUCUACAAAAGGCAAGUUUAUUUCAAAAUUUGAAAAUAAUUACGUGUAAUGAUUUGGUCGGUUUGUAAUGUAUAUAUUAUCUUCUCUUUUUUUUCAGGAUACAUACCACUAGCUUUGGACUUCGUCAUAGUAUUGAAAUUUUCAGAGCGCAUAAAUAUUUGCCCCUAUCCCAAGAAAUACUCAAUAAUUACUUUUGGGAGGUAUGUUUGAUAUUUAUAUUUAAAUUUUUGAUUGAUUUGUUGAAAAUAAUUGAUAAACAUACAUGACUAAUUAUUCACAAUAACAAGAACUUUUUAGUUUAAAGGAAUCAUAAUAUGAAUCAUGCUUCACAAGUUCUAAAAAAUUACUUUCCAAAUUUAGUCACUUAAAAUUCUUCAAAAAAUAAGUUUACAAAAUUAGUCAUAAAGAAUUUGAAAUAAGAUUAAUUAUAUAUAAAUAAUAAUUAUGUUAAAUUUCUAAUGGAUUUGAACCUUUUUACUUCUUCAUUUUAAAAUCUUUUUAUUUUAAAUUAUUUACUUACAUUCUAUUAGUAUAUCAUGAUAGUAUUAUUUUAAUUUGAUUCAAUAAUUUUUCUAAUAAAAGCUUAAUAUGCAAAAAAUUAAUAUAUAUUAUAUAAAAGUUGUCAUAAAAAGAUAUUAAAAAACCUUAAUAUCUAAAAAUUAAUAUUAUAUAUUAUAUAAAAGAUGUAAUUUAAAAGAUAAAAUUAAAAUCCGUGCAUUGCACGGGUUAGUUGCUAGUUUAUAUAUAUUAUGAAGGCAGAGGCUUGGAACCCUUUUUUGUUGCAAAAUAUAAAAUCAGAAGUUCAAAUCCCUGACCUAUCAAAAAUCUUUUCAGAAUAACAAUAAAAUGCCCUAAAUUGUGGUUAUUUUUAUUAACAUACAUAACAUGAAUGUCCUGUAUAUUUGUCGGCACAUUAAUGAUUUAAAAAGAUAAUAUUCUAAAGGACCCAAAGCAUACAUUUGCAUGAAAGAGAAAAAUGUACCAUUUUAAUAAAAAAUAGCAACAUCAAAGGGAAAAGGAAAAAAAAAUGAAAUGAUAAAGAGGUUUCUGAUUUGAUGUUUUAACAAACUCCAAUGUAGUUGAUAAGCGUUUUAAUGCUCAUAGCAUUUCUCAUUCUAUAACCAAUCAAAAAUUUGAAAAAUAAACUUAGUUGGAAUAAAGGCCCUAUUUUUCUCCAAUAAUUAUUUGAUGUGUUUAUAAUCACAACGUCACGGUGCGGUACUAUCUAUUGUUUUUCUAUUAUAAAUUAAUAUCUACAGAGUUAUAGAUUUGCAUAUUUGUCUCUGCAAAUGUGGAUCUUCGUGUAACCACCUUAAAAUGUUUGGUUUCUCAUAUAUGAUUCUAAAAUGUAAAAACAUGUACAAGUACAUGGCUAAUUUGAUUGGGGCAAUGUUGGGGUUAAAAAGUUCCUACUUUGGAGAAAGAAAUUUUAGUUAACUUUUGUAGAUCUGAACAUCAAUACGAACUUGCUUUUUUUUUUUUUUUUAAUUUGAAGUUGCUUGUAAGUGUAAACAUCUUAUUGCAAGGUCAGUUUAGAAAUCUGUAGUAAAAUACUAGACUAAAUUACAGAAAACCUUUCUGUUAAUACCCGCUUUUUCACUUUUUUUUCCUGUUAUUUAAAAACCUAUAUAUUUUCUCCCUUGAAAAAUAAACAAUAUUCACAGAAGGGUAUGGUGUGACAAAAUGACCAACUUGUCAUUAUCUUCUUCGUCUCCUCUCCAAUCCUGCUCAUCCUGCACCCUCGCCUGCGCCUCCCUCACCCAAGCUCCGACUCCAUUUUCCCCACCUGCUCUCCUGCUCCUCCAGCACCCUCAUCGUUCCUCUUUUUUGACGAUUGUAGGAAGGAAAUCGUGGUGGGUAUGGGCGGAGAGAUGGGUGAAUGCAAGGCGAGGGUGAAGCGGCGGAGGAGAGCGAGGGUGUGUGUCUGGGUACGGACAGAGAAGUGCGCUAGGGCAAGGCGGCGGAGUAGGGCGAGGCACCGCAGCGAGGAUGUCAGUGAGGAAAUGAUCUAUUAGUUGUAAUCAAUAUUAAACUAUAAUAUGCUUAAUAUAAAAUGAUUAGGUGCUUUUUAAGAAUACCCAUAAUCCAUUGCUCCGUUCUUCCGCUAAACCACAUAGAUUUUCUAGCAAUCGCAUUAGUUAACUUUCAUGUGUAUAAAUCACAAUGCAUACUUCGACGUAUGAAAAUUUGGAAGUCACAACAACUCGUAACGCCCCAAAGAUAAUCUCACAUUAGAUGGAAAAAACAUUAUGAUUAAGUAUAUAAGGAAAUAAGGAAUAGAAACCGUAAUAAUAAUAACUAAACUUAAAAGUACUUUGAACCGAUGGUUCAAGCCCAAUUAGUUAUUAUUGCAAGUUGGCCCGAUCGUUAUAUUUGAUGUCAGAGCCGAAUACCAAUUAGAUGUGUAAAACUUAAAUAUUAUGUCGGAUAAAAUGCUACACCAUGGGUUUGAUAGAAGCCACCAUUUCACCUAAUAAUUUUGAUCUAUCUAC